GCAGAGUAAGUAAAAAAAUGAUCACAACUAAUAUUGUAGUUCUUGGGUUGCCUCCCAAGCAGCGCCUUUCUUUAACGUCUUUGGCUAGACAUGGCCUUCAAUUGUUUAAAUCUCUCCACUUGGAUCAUCAAGGAAUAAAACCUCCAUUUGCUCAUUAUUAAACCCUUCGUAAUAAGGCUUUAGACGGUGACCAUUGACUACAAACCUUUUCUCCGUCUUAAGACUUUGUAUUUCCACUGCACCAUAAUGAGAAAUAUUAGUAAUAACAAAUGGACCAAUCCAACGGGAGCUGACAGGUCGUCAGCCUGUGCAACAAUAAUAAUAAAUAUAGAACCUAGAUACCACUAAAAGCAGUCAACAAUCAAUCCUAGGUACUGGAGCAGGGACUCUAGGUGUGCAAUGGGUUACUUGAUUCACCCUGUUCCCGAAAAGUUUGCUUAACCCGAUAUACCAGAAUUAAUUAAUUGACAAAAAUUACUAAAUAGUAGACAGUGGCAAGUAGGGUCGUCUCCUCAGGGACUGGGGAUAUCUGUCUCUUUUUAAAGUCCAAUUGAUAAGGGGGGAUUUCACCGGAAUGAAACUAAAAAUAAUUACACAAUUUAAUUAAAAAUAAAUAAAUCACUAGCACAAGUAAAACAGGAAUUAAAUCAAGAAUAAAUAAAUUCUAGCCAAGGAUACAACUACUCAGGCACAGUCCAAUCAUCCGAUCAUUGAUGCAAGAGAGGUUCACUUAAUGUAUUAAUAGGCUAGUUAUAGUCUGACGACCAAUUUUUCCUUAAAUUAUAGAUGACCAAGGUACGACCAUUAAUCACCUCUAACCAAAAAAGUACUCCUAGGUACGACCGUAGGAAUUAAUUUUCCAAUUGCAUUAAUAACUAGAAAAACCUAGCCCUAACCAAUAACACGCUAUGAGGGUUAUUUAAAUUAGAUUGCACGUUCCCCUAAUGUGUAAACACACCAGUUGCCACUAACAUUAAUCAAUCAAACAAUUACGGAUUUAAUUGACUAAAUUGGCACGAGAUUAAUAAAUCACAUUGAACAUCGGGUCCUUGACAUCCAAUUAAUAAAAUAAUCCCAUGAAAAUUCAAGCAGAUAACGUGCAAAUAUUAAUAAAUAAAGGAACACGUGAAAACUAAUUAGAUCUCACAGAUUUUCGGGACUGCGCCGUCGAGUUGACCCUUGACUAGAUGGAAGAUUUAGCCACGCCGCAUAAUUAAAUCACCACACGAAUUAAUGGAUUGCAAAGGCAUAGCGUUUUCUAUUAAGAAGUAAGGAAUAAAAGGUGUUUUUUCCGUUGGGGAAUUUUGUCGAACACCUGGCGUGUGUCAGAGGCUAGUCAAAAGAAGGAAAAACUUAAAACUACACUAAAAGCCUAAAAACUAGAGAUGUCCCUGCUACUCUACGUUAUCUCUAUUUAAGCAAUAAAAGAAAGAUGGCUAAAGGCUAUCUAGGUGGUCCCCACACAUGUGGACAAAACCUUCAAAGUACUUCCUUCCCCCAAGUCUCUUUCCGUAGCUUCCUUUUAAGAGCCCAAAGGAGUAGAUGCCUUCCACUAGCUUGUGGUCCCCCACCAAUUCAAGGGCCCAAGAAUUGAAUCCCUUAGAAGUCUCCCUAUUUUCCAUAAAGUCCUUCCUUUUUGAUGAUUUUCUGCUUCAUUCCUGAAAUUAAGUCCAGAUACCAAAUAUGAGUAAAUAUCAGCAAUUAACACAAUAUUUAUCAGGGAUAAAAGGGGAAAUCAAUAAUAAAAUUACUAACAAAUUGUACCCUAUCAAUUCCCCCCACACCUGAAUCAUGCUUGCCCUCAAGAAUGGGGACAACCCAACUCAAUAAUGACUAGCUUUCACAUUAUCAUUGCCAGCAGUGCUUAUACCCAAAAUCAAGAUUUAGCGGCUAAAUGUCAAGUCAUAUCUCACUCGGUUAGCUUCUAAGUUCAUAGACCUGUCCAAUUCAUGGCUAAUUCGCUUAGGAAAUCCAAAUACUAACUAGCAAUAGUCAGUAAUUAAGUCAACUGGCAACCAAAAUCUCAACAAUACGACCCAAGGAUCGGCAGGCUAACAUGAUCAUAAACUCACAUAUUCUGCACUUCUGAUUUCCUUUUUUUUUUCUGUUUUUUUGGAUUGCAAGAAUAAUGCUUAGUCCCGAGCUAUUCAAGUCUUUUGACGUGAACGCUGACAUUUUUAGAUGAAAGAGCCCAGUUACUCGACCUUUCAUAGCUCCAGGACUUUUUUACUCAUAGAUAUCGCUACUUUUUGACGCGAGAGCCGACACUUGUGGUGAAAGCUCCCGGUUACUAGGUAGCGACACUAGCGGAGUACAGCCAUAUGUUAUUCACCAUAAAACACCAAAACACCAAGUAAUUACAGAUCAUAGCCCGCGUCAUGUCCUAAAUAUGGAGAACUAAGGUAAACAGGAGACCAAACUACACAACAAUGCCGGUAAAAUAUUUAUAUUGCCUAACCAAGUUAGCCAUAAAUUGCACCAAGUCGUUAAUACUCAAAAUAUUCACCAAGUAAGCAUGCUUUUACUUGCCACUGCAACUCAACUCGUAGUACAAACCACCACUAACAAGAAAAAAGUGAGCUGCCAAAAAUAUUCACCAAGAUAGAAGCAAGGGAAAGACACUCAAAAGGGAUAAAGGAGCAACACCUAAACAGAAAACAAGAGGAAAAAUAAUAAAGAAACGAGAACUAGCACCCAAACUGAGACCCCCCCCACACCUAAACGACACAUUGCCCCCAAUGUGAAAAUAUAAUAGCAGGAAAAUGGAGAGGGGCAACGGUACUUCCCUGAAAUCGUCAAGACAAGGGUGGAUUAGGCGGAAACUGAGGUGGGAACCCAGCUUGCUGCAUAAAAGCCGCGAGAUUCUGCGCCAGAUUGUGAAUGUUAACGUCCAUGUGUUUUUGCCGAAUCUCAAGUCGCUCGACUGUGUUGCGGAGCUGGUUCCAUUCCUCAUGUGUAUGGGCGGAAUGGGGGGGCACGGAGGAAGAAGCACCGGGAUCACCGUCCUCAGUGGAAGCUCGGGCAGAAGAUGACCGAGGGGGGGUUCUAGAGGCCCCGGGGGGACAACCCCCCAACCAUUGUCGCCCUCCCGAACUAAGCCCAUUUUCUCCAAGCUUGGAAUAUCCAAAGGCUCCAUUUGACAGGCAAUAUGCAAGUUGUGGUUAGAAAUAUCAAGGACAUGCAAAUUAAUAGCCAAGUGAGUAAUGUAAGACCCAAGAAUCAAGGGGCGUUUCUUUUUAGGCAAAAUGGACUUGAAUUGAGACGCGAGCCAACACCCAAGAUUAACCUUAAUAUUGUUUUGCAUGCACCAUAUAAAGAAAAACUCCGACUUAGACAAAACGCCCGAACUAUCUCGCCUACCCGAGAAACUGUAAGCCAAAAAACGGUGGAUAUAGCGAGAGGCCGGGUCCUUCAGAUAGGACCCCUUUGAUAGACGAGGGUCAUAGUUUUUACUGUCUACAGACAUAUCAUCCCAAAGAAAGCGAUAACGGGAGAAAAACGGCUGGACAUAGUCACAUGCACUCUCGGCAUACUCCCUAGGCUCAGCAUAAGCUGGAUCAAUGAAACCAAAGGCCAGAUUGAAGUCGGUUAUGGAAUGGUGGAAUUCCUGGCCCAUUAAACGGAAGCGGAUGACAUCAGGGGUAGAAACUGUGUAAUUAGUGGGAAGGUCAAACUCAAACGUGGCAUAAAACUCCCUAACCAACUCGACAAAAGCCGGGAGGUCAGUGAUACGAGAAUAGGGGCGCCACCCGAUGGCUUCAAUCAAAUCGUGAAAGGGGACACUAAUAUUUAAAAGGCCCAAGGUGGCGGGGUCCCGAUAACGACAAGGAAUAAUCCGUCGUUCACAAGCCGCUUCAUAGCGCCGCUUGUCGGCUGCCCGGGUGAAGUCCAAAUGACCCCCAAAAUGUUCAGGGUCAGAGAUAUGGACGCCUCUUUGUCGCCCAAGACGAGCCCGCCUCCCAGAGGAGGAAGGGUCGUGCGAGGGGUCAGAGGCGGGAAUGGAAUGCUUGGGUGGAGGGGGCUGAGGAGUCCUAGGGGUCCUAGACUUAGAAGAAGAUCGGGGCUUCACCAUGGUGACCAACAGGCAAACCCGAAACAACCAAGUAGCAAUAUAAGUGUCACGGGCGCCCCCAAUAAGCAAGUAUAAGCGUCACGGGCGCCCCCAAAUUCAACCAGCAAUCUCAGCAAUAAAUGGUGAGAAUUGAGAGACAGUUCAGCACAGAGAAUGAAGAAAUGGAAAGCAAUACUGCCACCAGUACCACUGGUGUAAAGACAGGAAAGCAAUGCAAGCACCCUCAGGCUAUAACAAUCCUCAACAAGACAUCAAAUGCAAUUAAUAAAGAGCAACAGUCCCAAUAGAAUCCAAUAUAAGACAAAACAGCCCAAGCGUGCAAUACUACUCCAAAUAACCCAAGUAGGUUCAUUAGGCACAAACAAUCAGCAAUCAGCAAAGGAAGGGACACAGUAGCCCUCCAAUUCAACAAACAGACGCAUAAAAAUGCCCAGCCAAUGUCACUUCAAGGGCCACGAGUUAAAAAUUAACAACACAAACCACGAGUGAUAUCAACAGGGACCCCAAAAGAGCAAUGAACUCAACUAUUUGAAGUAAGCAGGACUCAACAAAUGUCACCACUUGGACAGCCAAUCACUCAAUUAUAAUCCAGCAACAACUGAAUAUAAUGUAAUCACAGGGAAGAGUCACAGGGAAGAAUUGAAUCAGACGGCCAACCAAAUCCACCAAGAAAUCCAGACAAUCACUAAACAGCCCCAGAAAUUAGAAAUUGACAAAAGUACCUCCCUUAUGCCCAACCGUAGACAGCGGGACAGUGAUGGGGCGCAAUGGCGCGGCUGGCGGCUGGCGGCUGCUCUGGUGGGGUGAACGAGGGAGGACAGGGCCGAGCUGGGAGUGGCGGGAUCGGUGGUGGAAAGCUCGGCGAUUGUGCUGAUGCGGUGGUGGAGAGAGCAGAUCUGGCGGGGGGAAAGGCGCGGCGAGCUUGGCGGCGAUGGAAGCGGGUCAGCGGCGGCGACUGGCUCUGCGGAGUACAGGCACCUCGUGGCCGUGGGCAACGUGGAGAGAGGGACCAUGAGCUGGUGGAGCUCGGGGUUUGACGGCCAGGCGCGCUGAUGGUGGCGCGCGAGGGUGGGCAGCCGCGCUUCGUGGAGAAAACCAAGGCGUCAGUGGCGGUGGUCGCGGACAGCCGGCGAUGGUGGCCUAGGGCGCAGUGGAGCUUGGAGGCGGUGGCGGCGCGCGAAAGCUGGUGGCUUGCGCGUCACUGUGGGCUGCAGGUGGCGGCGGACUGGUCGCUGGGCUGCGCGCGUUGGUGGCCUAGGGCGCAGUGGAGCUUGGAGGCGGCGGCGGCGGAUGAAGAAGAAAAGAACAGGGGAAAAAGAAAGCAGCGGGGAAGAAGGAAGAAAGAAAAAGAAAAAAAAAGAAAGAAAGAAAGAAAGAAAGAAGAAAAGAAAAAAAAGAAAGAAAAAGAAUUUUUUUUUUUUGUUAUAUAAACAAUGCUUACGAAAAUCUGAAAUCUGAAAUUGUUUAUUUUAAAUUUUAAAAAAAAAAUUUUUUUUAUAAAGCAAUAACAAAAACAAAAAUAAUAAUAACAAUAGUAAUAAAUUUUAAAUUUUAAUUUUAAAUUUUUUUUUUUUGAAUUCGUGUUUUAGGUCGUCAAACACCGCGUGGGCACGGCACGCCAAGAUUGGUCUUCGUCCUCUGAUCUCAGGAGACACAAACACCGCGUGGGCACGCCAAGAUUGCAAUUCAUCUACUGAGCUCAGGAGGCACCAACACCGCGUGGGCACGCCAAGAUUGCUUCAUCUCUGACCUCAGGAGACACCAACGCCGCGUGGGCACGCCAAGAUUUCACUUCCUGAUUCAGUGAAGGAAAUAUUAGUAUUGAUACUACCCAACGAGUAAAUGACCCAAUGCAAAAGAAAAACACUAGAAAUACCAAAACAACUAGAAAUAACAAAACUAAUAUUCGGGUUGCCUCCCAAACUAGCGCCUUUCUUUAGUGUCUUUGGCUAGACAUAGCCCAUAAUCUGCUUAAACCAAGCAAAUUGGGUCCUCCAAAUGCAUCAUCUCUACCCGCUCAACUGGAACCUCAUCAUAAUAUGGCUUGAGGCGAUGACCAUUCACCACAAAUUUCUUCUCCGUCUUUAGACUCUGGAUCUCCACUGCACCAUAAUCAAAGACAUUAGUUACAACAAAGGAACCAAUCCAACGAGAACGUAGCUUACCUGGAAAUAACUUCAAUUUGGAGUGAUACAGUAGAACUUUUUGUCCACAUUCAAACGUCUUCCUAGAGAUCUGUUGGUCAUGAAAAAUCUUGUUUUUCUCCUUAUAAAUCACAGCAUUCUCGUAGGCUUCAUUGCGAAUCUCCUCCAAUUCUUGUAACUGUAGCUUCCUUUGAAUUCCGCCCUCUUCGAUACCCAUGUUGCAUUGCUUGACCGCCCAAAAUGCUCUAUGCUCGAACUCGACAGGGAGGUGGCAUGGCUUCCCAAAUACCAAACGGUAAGGAGACAUGCCGAUUGGUGUCUUGUACGCCGUUCUAUAUGCCCACAAGGCAUCUUCAAGUCUCACACUCCAGUCCUUCCUAUCAGGUCGAACCAUUUUUUCCAAAAUCGACUUGAUCUCCCGGUUCGAUGCUUCCGCCUGACCAUUUGUCUGCGGAUGGUAAGACGUGGAGACUUUGUGCAAGACCCCGUAUCUCCUAAAAAGUGCAGUAAUUGUCUUGUUGCAGAAAUGGGUACCCCGAUCACUUACAAUUGCUCGCGGCAUCCCAAAUCGGACAAAGAUAUUAGACUUGACGAAUUCUGCGACUACUUUGGAAUCAUUAGUACGGGUGGCCUUCGCUUCCACCCAUUUCGAGACAUAGUCUACAGCAAGCAAUAUAUAUAAAAAGCCAAAAGAUGAAGGAAAAGGACCCAUAAAGUCAAUACCCCAAACAUCAAAAAUCUCAACAAAAAUCAUUGGGGUCUGGGUCAUUUGAUCCCUUCGAGAAAUAUUACCUACUCGUUGACACUUAUCACAUGACUUACAAAAUAAGUAGGUAUCCUUAAAGAGGGUCGGCCAAUAAAAUCCACUCUCUAAAACCUUACGAGCAGUCCUCUUUGGUCCAAAGUGACCUCCACAUGCGAAAGAGUGACAAUAAGCUAAAAUAGAUUGGAAUUCAUUUUCACUUACACAUCUACGAAUGAUUUGGUCAGCACCACGUUUCCAGAGGUACGGGUCAUCCCAGAUGUAAGACUUUGCGUCACUCCUCAAUUUGUCCCUUUUUGCCUUAGGCCAUCCUGCAGGAAACUUGUCAGUAACUAGAAAAUUAACCAUAUCCGCAUACCAAGGCAAAGACAAAUUAAUAGAAAAUAAAUGCUCAUCGGGAAAAGUUUCUCUCAAUGGGAUAUUAUCUUCUUCGACUUGCACUCGACUUAAAUGAUCCGCUACCAGAUUUUCAGCCCAUUUCUUAUCCCUGAUCUCCAAGUCGAACUCUUGGAGCAGUAGUAUCCACCUUAUCAGUCGCGGCUUCGCCUCUUUUUUGGUCAACAGAUACCGCAGGGCUGCAUGAUCAGAGAAAAUAAUAACUUUAGCACCAAGUAAAUAUGACCGAAAUUUCUCUAACGCAAAAAUUACAGCUAAAAGCUCCUUUUCGGUGGUCGAAUAGUUCAACUGAGCCCCGUUCAAGGCUCGAGAGGCGUAGUAUAUAGCAUAGGCUGCCUUCCCCACUCUUUGACCCAGGACCGCGCCCACGGCAUAGUCGCUGGCAUCGCACAUGAUCUCGAACGGUAGGUUCCAAUCAGGGGGUUGGAUAAUAGGUGAGGAGGUCAGUAUCUCCUUUAACCUAUCAAACGCCCCCUUACAUGACUCAUUGAACUCGAAGGGUACCUCUUUCUGCAAAAGUUGGAACAGGGGCGCUCCAAUCUUGGAGAAGUCCUUUAUGAAUCUCCGGUAGAAACCUGCGUGACCCAAAAAAGAACGUACCUCCCGCACACUCGCGGGGUAAGAUAAAGUAGAUAUAACAUCUAUUUUUGCCUUAUCAACCUCAAUACCGCUAGACGAUACCACAUGACCCAAAACUAUCCCGUGCUCGACCAUAAAAUGGCAUUUUUCCCAAUUGAGUACGAGAUUAGCUUCUAUGCACCUUAUUAGAAUUAAUUUCAGGUUAUCUAGGUAGUUAUCAAAACUAUCCCCAUACACACUGAAAUCAUCCAUAAAAACCUCAAUAAUCUUCUCAACAUAUUCUGAAAAAAUACUUACCAUACAGCGCUGGAAGGUGGCAGGUGCAUUGCAUAGCCCAAAUGGCAUCCUCCGGUAUGCGAAUGUUCCAAACGGGCACGUGAAGGUAGUUUUCUCCUGGUCCUCAGGUGCGAUAGCAAUCUGGAAAUAACCUGAAAAACCAUCCAAAAAACAAUAAUAAGCUCGACCUGCUAAUCGCUCUACCAUUUGAUCAAUAAAAGGAAGGGGAAAAUGAUCCUUUUUCAUGACGGCGUUCAAUUUCCUAUAAUCUAUGCACUGCCGCCACCCAGUGGGCUUCCGGACUGGCACGAGCUCACCCUCCUGAUUUGAUUCUACCGUCACCCCUGCCUUCUUUGGGACCACCUGUACUGGACUUACCCAGGGGCUAUCUGAUAUAGCAAAAAUUAUCCCCACAUCCAGUAGUUUUAGGAUCUCUUUCUUCACUACCUCCAUCAUGAGAGGAUUCAAUCUCCUUUGAGCCUGCCGAAUAGGUCUAGCGCCCUCUUCGAGUCGAAUCCGAUGUGUACAUACCGCGGGGCUAAUUCCCUUGAUAUCGGCGAUAGUCCAUCCUAUCGCCUGCUUAUGGUCCCUCAAAACUCUAAUCAAUUUGUCUUCUUGGACUGUUGAUAAACUGGCGGAGAUAAUCACUGGGAGUGUCUCCCCCUCGCCUAAGUACGCAUACUUUAGGUGUUUUGGCAGCGGUUUCAACUCUAAGACAGGCGCCUGCACCACAGAUGGAAGUAGCCUUUGGUGAGGUUCAGGUGUAAACACGGGUGCGAGGUCAUACCUUAUCUUUGUGGUUGGCAACGUCUGCAACGUUCCAAUCACACAUUUGAGCUCUUUACUCAACUCUAUCUCAGCGGUCAUCUCUGACUCGAAGUGCCUGGUCAAGGCAACUUCCAGCUCAUCCCUGCCUUCAAUUUCGAAAACUUCACGUACAGUAGAGUCAAUAGCAUUUAUAGAGAAGACAGAGCUAGCAUGUGAUUCUGACGGAUACUUCAUAGAUUCGAAAAUGUUAAAAUGAACAAUCUCACCAUCAAAUUCCAUAGAUAGGGUGCCCUUAUUAACAUCUAUUUUAGUUCGAGCUGUGCUUAAGAAGGGUCUACCUAAUAGUAAAGGUGAUAGGUCGUGAGAGUAUUCAUCAUCCAUAUCAAGCACGUAAAAAUCAGCAGGGAAAACCAAUUCAUUAAUUUUCACUAAAACAUCCUCAAUCAACCCGUCAGGGUAUGCAUUGGUCCGGUCAGCCAGUUGGAUUAUUAUUCCAGUGUCUUUCAGAGGUCCUAACUUCAACGAGGCAUAUAUAGACUUGGGCAUCACAUUAAUUGAGGCUCCUAGAUCUAACAUAGUCUUUCCAAUCAAGAUAUUUCCUAUUCUACAAGGAAUAGUGAACAUACCUGGGUCACCGCAUUUCGGUGGAAGCUUUCGUUGCAGGAUCGCUGACACAUUUUCUCCCACUACCACUCUCUCAUCUCCCUUCAAUCGCCUUCGAUUGACACACAGGUCCCUUAAAAAUUUUGCGUAUUUGGGUACCUGCUUAAUCGCAUCUAGAAGAGGAAUGUUGAUCUCCACUUUGCGAAAGAUCUCUAGGACCUCUUUCUCCUUGUCCUGCUUCCUUGGUUUCUCCAAUCUGCUUGGGAAGGGAGGUGGGUUGGAUCUAACUGGCAUGAGUGGGUCCGGGAUUACCUUUGAAUUUUUAUUGUCACCGCCCUCCUCUUCCAGCUCUUUUUCAAUUCGAUUUUCGUCCUUGUCCUUAGGAAUCAUCGGGUCAGGUCCUUGGACCUCCUUGCCACUUCUCAAGGUCAUGGCGCUAACAUUCUUCGGGUUUAAUUCGGGCUGAGACGGCAAUUUACCUUGGUUUUGGGAAUCCAAACGAUUGAUUGUUAUGGCCAUUUGACUUAUCUGAUUCCUCAUGUCCUGCAUUUCAGAGUCCGUCCUCUGCUGAUUUUGCGUGAGGGUUGCCAUCACUUGUUUCAUCAUCUCCUCCAAAGAUGGACCAGAUCUUGGGGGCGGAGGUGGUCGGGGUUGGUACUGCUGCUGGUACCCUGGUGGCUUAUUUGGCACGAAAUUAGACUGCCUGUUCGGUGUAUAGUUGGGCUGCCUAUUUCCUCCAUAGCUGAGAUUUGGGUGGUCCUUCCAGCCGGGAUUGUACGUAUUCGAGUACGGGUCAUAGGCUCUUCUUGGCGCGGGCGCGUGGCCAGCCAUGUUCACCUGUUCUGCAGUUUCUUCCUGAAGCAUUGGGCACAUGUCUGCAGAGUGUCCCAUACCAGUGCAAAUCCCGCACACCCUGGCCUGAGUUGCUCUCUCUACAGCCAGUUGCCUCACAAACGAGGUCAACUCAGUUAGCUGCUGCUGGACAGAUGGUGUCUCUAUCUCGUUCACCUUGCGUAUUGGGACAUCCUCUCUCGUACCGAAUUGUUGUGAAUUUUCUGCCAUCCCCUCUAUUAGCUCCCGUGCUUCCUGAGGGGUCUUGUUCACCAGUGCCCCUCCACUUGCAGCAUCAAUUAUGCUCCUGUCUCUGAAUAGGAGCCCCUCAUAAAAAUACUGAAUGAGCAACUGCUCACUUAUCUGGUGCUGGGGACACUUGUGUAACAAGUUCUUGAACCGUUCCCAAUACUCAUAGAGUGAUUCUCCUGGAUGUUGCUUGAUCCCGCAGAUUUCUUUCCUUAGGCUUGCAGCCCUGGAUGCAGGAAAAUAUUUAUCUAAAAAUUUUUUCUUCAAUUGGUCCCACGUGGUGAUGCUACCUGGUGACAGGUAGUACAGCCAGUCCUUCGCAGAAUCUUUCAGGGAGAAGGGGAACGCCCUCAUUUUUAUCUGCUCUUCAGUGAUCCCCGGGGGUUUCAUACUAUUGCACACGACAUCAAACUCCUGCAGAUGCUUAUACGGCUCCUCACCUGGUAAGCCAUGAAAAGAAGGUAAAAGAUGAAUUAGACCUGAUUUCAAUUCAAAGGAAGUGUUAUCACUCAAACUCGGGAAAGUAAUGCAUAAAGGCUGCUGAUUUAAAUCAGGAGCAGCCAACUCCCUUAAUGUUCGUGCAUUAGCCAUGAGAAUUUCUUCUUGCUCUGAGUCACUCGAAGAAUCACCAAAUGAAUCUGUUGGUUCAACUUCUGACUCAGGUCUCUGAGAUGUAGCACUGGAGUGCUCCUCUCUGAGCUGUCUGGUCUCUUUCCUUAUCCUACGCGCAGUCUUCCCUACCUCAGGGUCAAAAACCAAAUUACCUGUACGAGAAGACCGAGGCAUACACUAGAAAAAAUACCAGAAAAUUAGAGCGAAAAUGAACGUAAUAAAGAAACAAAUAAUGACGCCAGUCCCCGGCAACGGCGCCAAAAAUUGACAGGUCGUCAGCCUGUGCAAUAAUAAUAAUAAAUAUAGAACCUAAAUACCACUAAAAGCAGUCAACAAUCAAUCCUAGGUACUGGAGCAGGGACUCUAGGUGUGCAAUGGGUUACUUGAUUCACCCUGUUCCCGAAGAGUUUGCUUAACCCGAUAUACCAGAAUUAAUUAAUUGACAAAAAUUACUAAAUAGUAGACAGUGGCAAGUAGGGUCGUCUCCUCAGGGACUGGGGAUAUCUGUCUCUUUUUAAAGUCCAAUUGAUAAGGGGGGAUUUCACCGGAAUGAAACUAAAAAUAAUUAAACAAUUUAAUUAAAAAUAAAUAAAUCACUAGCACAAGUAAAACAGGAAUUAAAUCAAGAAUAAAUAAAUUCUAACCAAGGAUACAACUACUCAGGCACAGUCCAAUCAUCCGAUCAUUGAUGCAAGAGAGGUUCACUUAAUGUAUUAAUAGGCUAGUUAUAGUCUGACGACCAAUUUUUCCUUAAAUUAUAGAUGACCAAGGUACGACCAUUAAUCACCUCUAACCAGAAAAGUACUCCUAGGUACGACCGUAUGAAUUAAUUUUCCAAUUGCAUUAAUAACUAGAAAAACCUAGCCCUAAUCAAUAACACGCUAUGAGGGUUAUUUAAAUUAGAUUGCACGUUCCCCUAAUGUGUAAACACACCAGUUGCCACUAACAUUAAUCAAUCAAACAAUUACGGAUUUAAUUGACUAAAUUGGCACGAGAUUAAUAAAUCACAUUGAACAUCGGGCCCUUGACAUCCAAUUAAUAAAAUAAUCCCAUGAAAAUUCAAGCAGAUAACGUGCAAAUAUUAAUAAAUAAAGGAACACGUGAAAACUAAUUAGAUCUCACAGAUUUUCGGGACUGCGCCGUCGAGUUGACCCUUGACUAGAUGGAAGAUUUAGCCACGCCGCAUAAUUAAAUCACCACACGAAUUAAUGGAUUGCAAAGGCAUAGCGUUUUCUAUUAAGAAGUAAGGAAUAAAAGGUGUUUUUCCCGUUGGGAAAUUUUGUCGAACACCUGGCGUGUGUCAGAGGCCAGUCAAAAGAAGGAAAAACUUAAAACUACACUAAAAGCCUAAAAACUAGAGAUGUCCCUGCUACUCUACGUUAUCUCUAUUUAAGCAAUAAAAGAAAGAUGGCUAAAGGCUAUCUAGGUGGUCCCCACACAUGUGGACAAAACCUUCAAAGUACUUCCUUCCCCCAAGUCUCUUUCCAUAGCUUCCUUUUAAGAGCCCAAAGGAAUAGAUGCCUUCCACUAGCUUGUGGUCCCCCACCAAUUCAAGGGCCCAAGAAUUGAAGCCCUUAGAAGUCUCCCUAUUUUCCAUAAAGUCCUUCCUUUUUGAUGGUUUUCUACUUCAUUCCUGAAAUUAAUUCCAGAUACCAAAUAUGAGUAAAUAUCAGCAAUUAACACAAUAUUUAUCAGGGAUAAAAGGGGAAAUCAAUAAUAAAAUUACUAACAAAUUGUACCCUAUCAGGAGCGCAACUUACCAGGAAAAAGCUUAAGUCUUGAGUGAUAAAGUAAGACUUUUUGCCCUACGACAAACGACUUUCUCGAAACUUGUUGAUCAUGGAAAACUUUGCUUUUCUCCUUAUAAAUUGCGGAAUUCUCAUAGGCUUCAUUCCUUAGCUCUUCCAACUCUUGUAAUUGGAGCUUUCUGUGUCCUCCGGCCUCCAUGAGAUCCAUGUUGCACCGCUUGAGCGCCCAGAAUGCCUUGUGUUCAAAUUCUACUGGUAAGUGGCACGGCUUCCCAAAGACUAACCUGUAAGGAGACAUUCCAAUUGGCGUUUUAUACGCAGUGCGGUAAGCCCAGAGAGCGUCUUCCAAUUUCACACUCCAAUCCUUUCUAUCAGGCCUCACCAUCUUCUCCAGGAUCGACUUAACCUCUCUAUUCGAUAUUUCGGCCUGACCAUUCGUUUGGGGAUGGUAGGGAGUGGACACUUUGUGGAGCACACCAUACUUACGAAACAAGGCGGUGAUCGUUUUAUUGCAAAAGUGGGUGCCCCUAUCACUCACUAUGGCUCGCGGCAUUCCAAAACGGACGAAAAUGUUAGAUCUUAUAAAAUCUGCAACCACUCUAGAAUCAUUAAUCCGGGUGGCUUUUGCCUCCACCCAUUUGGAAACAUAGUCAACAGCAAGUAUAAUGUACAAGAAACCAAAAGACGAGGGGAAGGGACCCAUGAAAUCUAUACCCCAGACAUCAAAAAUCUCAACAAAUAAUAUGGGGGUUUGACUCAUUUGGUCUCUUCGAGAGAUAUUCCCCACCCUUUGACACUUAUCACAAGAUUUGCAAAACAAAUAUGCAUCCCUAAACAAAGUAGGCCAAUAAAAACCACUUUCUAGCACUUUACGAGCUGUCCUCUUUGGACCAAAAUGCCCUCCACAUGCAAACGAAUGGCAGAAAGUCAAAAUAGAGUGAAACUCACCUGCACUUACACACCUUCUUAUAACUUGGUCUGAACAUUGCCUCCACAGGUAGGGGUCAUCCCAAAGGUAGUGUUUGGCAUCACUCUUUAACUUAUCCCUUUUAGCUUUUGACCACCCUGCAGGUAAUUGAUUUGUUACCAAAAAAUUAACAAUGUCCGCGUACCAAGGUAUUGACGAAUCAAUGGCUAGAAGUUGCUCCUCAGGGAAUGACUCUCUCAACGGUAGAUCAUCUUGAUUUGUGAGCAACCGGCUCAAAUGAUCAGCCACCAAAUUCUCAGCUCCACUCUUAUCCUUGAUUUCUAGGUCGAACUCCUGCAGGAGUAAAAUCCACCUGAUCAGUCUUGGUUUAGCAUCCUUCUUUGCCAGCAAGUACCUCAAGGCUGCAUGAUCAGAGAAAACUAUUACUUUUGCAUCCAAUAGAUAUGACCUAAAUUUUUCUAGUGCAAAAACAACAGCUAGUAAUUCUUUCUCCGUCGUGGAGUAAUUAAGUUGGGCUCCACUUAAGGCCCUCGACGCAUAAUAGAUCGCGUGUGGUGCUCUUCCAAUUCUUUGGCCCAACACGGCCCCCACGGCAUAGUCACUUGCGUCGCACAUAAUUUCAAACGGAAGGUUCCAAUCUGGGGGUUGAAUGACAGGCGGCGAUGUCAGUGACUCCUUCAAUUUAUCAAACGCCACCUUACAUUCACUUGUGAAAUCAAACGGCACGUCUUUCUGCAGUAGUUUGAACAGGGGUGCUCCGAUCUUCGAAAAGUCUUUGAUAAAGCUCCUAUAAAAACCUGCAUGACCCAAAAACGAACGCACUUCCCGGACACAUACGGGGUAAGGUAGAGCAGAAAUAAGGUCAAUUUUAGCUUUAUCUACCUCUAUGCCCUUAGCUGACACGACGUGCCCUAAGACAAUGCCAUGAUCUAUCAUAAAGUGACAUUUCUCCCAAUUAAGCACCAAAUUCGUUUCUAUACAUCUUUUCAGAAUUAAAGCCAGAUUCUCAAGGCAUUCAUCAAAACUGUCCCCGUACACACUAAAAUCAUCCAUGAAUACCUCAAUUAUUUUUUCCACAUAUUCUGAGAAAAUACUUACCAUGCACCUUUGAAAAGUUGCCGGAGCAUUGCAGAGACCGAAAGGCAUCCUGCGAUAAGCAAAUGUACCGAACGGGCAUGUGAAUGUAGUCUUCUCCUGGUCUUCCGGUGCUAUCGCGAUCUGAAAGUAACCUGAAAAACCAUCCAAGAAACAAUAGUAAACACGACCUGCCAAUCGUUCUACCAUCUGGUCAAUAAACGGGAGAGGGAAAUGGUCCUUUUUAGUCACAGAAUUGAGCUUCCGGUAAUCGAUGCACUGGCGCCAGCCAGUGGCUUUCCUGACCGGGACCAUAUCACCGUCCUGGUUCUCCUCCACGGUCACUCCCGCCUUUUUCGGGACUACCUGGACAGGACUCACCCAUGGGCUAUCCGAGAUAGCAAAAAUGAUCCCCACUUCUAGGAGUUUGAGUAUCUCCUUUUUCACAACUUCCAUCAUCAGGGGGUUCAAUCUUCUUUGAGCCUGUCUUACCGGCUUCGCAUCUUCCUCGAGUCGAAUUCGGUGCAUACAUAAGGAUGGACUUCUUCCCUUGAUAUCUGCUAUACUCCACCCAAUUGUCUCCUUAUGCUCCCUCAGGAUCCGCACUAGUUUGUCUUCUUGACUUGGAGACAGGUGUGCAGAGAUGAUUACCGGCAGUGUCUCCCGGUCUCCUAGGAAUGCGUACUUAAGAUGCUUCGGCAGAGGCUUUAAUUCUAACUCUGGUGCCUGCACAACUGAAGGAAGCAGCUUUGUUUGAGCCUCUGACAUAAAAAGUGAAGUAAGUUCAUACCUUGGGGAUACGGGUGGAAGUGAGUGUAAGGCUUCCACAGCAUGGAGCAAAUCUCCCCGUAGGUCCACAUCAGGAGUUACACCCAACUCCAGAUGCUUGACUAGAGCCACUUCCAAAGCGUUUUUGCCAUCUAAUUCGAAAAUUUCCUGCACAAAAGGCUCAAUAACGCUCAAAGCAAAGACCGAGUUAGAUUCUUCUGGAUACUUGAUCGCCUCAAAAAUAUUGAAAUUCACAGUUUCACCAUCAAAUUCCAUUGACAAAGUACCCUCAUUCACAUCUAUUUUAGUCCUGGCAGUGCUAAGAAAUGGUCUACCUAACAGGAUAGGUGACGGGUUUAAUGAUUUUUCAUCUCCCAUGUCCAAGAUAUAGAAAUCUGCAGGAAAGACCAAUUCAUUUACCUGAACCAAGACAUCUUCAACUAGCCCCUCUGGAUAUGCAUUUGUGCGAUCAGCUAGUUGGAUUAUGAUGGCUGUUUCUUUAAGUGGCCCAAGGUUUAGAGAAGCAAAAAUGGUCUUUGGCAUCACAUUGAUUGACGCCCCUAAAUCUAACAUUGCUUUCCUGAUCGGUGUAUUCCCUAUCUUACAGGAGAUCGUGAACAUACCUGGAUCUCCACACUUGGGUGGGAGCUUUCUUUGGAGCAUUGCUGACACAUUCUCUCCCACCGCUACUCUUUCGUCCCCUCUCAGUUUCCUCUUAUGGGUGCACAGAUCCUUGAGAAAUUUAGCAUAUUUAGGUAUCUGCUUGAUUGCAUCCAGUAAAGGGAUGUUAAUUUCCACCUUUCGGAACACAUCCAAAAGCUCUUUUUCCUUCUCUACCUUUUUUGUCUUCUCCAGCCUGCAAGGAAAAGGAGGUAAGUUAGAUUUAAUAGUGGGCGGAGAAGUGAAGGCUACCUUAGGAUCCUUGCGAAUACGCCCUUCCUCUUCAAUUUCCUUCUCUAUCUCCUCUUCAUUUUUGCUUUUUGAACUUUCCACUUUAGGCCCUUCCAGUUCCUUGCCACUCCUCAGCGUCAUGGCACUUACAUUCCUGAGAUUCACCUCGGGUUGCGAUGGUAGUUUCCCAUAAACGUGGGACUCCAAGCGGUUGAUGGCAGUUGCCAGUUGACUUAUUCGACCGUCUUGGUCCUUCUUGUCCGCUUUGGUGUCCUGCUGGAGCUGCGCGGUAUUCGCGGCCAAGGAUCUGAUCUCCUGUUGAAGCUGGGUAGUAGUCGUGGCCAGGUUAGUAGUAGUCGUGGCCGGGUUUUUGACUAGAUCCUCCAGGGAGCUCCCUGAAUUGGAGGACGAGGGUUGAGAUUUUGGUUGCCAUGGCUGGCUGAAUCCUGGUGGACGAUUUGGAAAUGAAUUUUGCUGCCUGUUCCCAUAACUAAGAUUGGGAUGGUCCCUCCAGCCCGGAUUGUACGUAUUGGAGUAUGGGUCGUACUGCCUGCGGGGCGCGGGCACGCCUCCGGCCAUGUUUACCUGUUCUGCCCCGUCCUUUUGCAAAAUGGGGCACGAGUCUGUGCAAUGGUCCAUGCUAGUGCAGAUUCCACAUACUUUCGCUCGCGGCAUGUCUCUCAUGGCUAAUUGCCUAACAACCGAUGUUAAUUCUGACAGUUGCUGCUGUAAGGAUGAAGUCUCUACCUCGUUGACUCUACGGGGAGGGUUGCUCUCACGGAAGCCAAAUUGCUGGGAGUUCUCUGCCAUGGCUUCGAUGAGCUCUCACGCUUCCCUCGGUGUCUUGUUUGCAAGUGCUCCCCCACUGGCAGCGUCAAUGAUACUCUUGUCUGUUGAUUGGAGCCCCUCAUAGAAGUAUUGGAUUAACAGUUGCUCACUAAUUUGAUGCUGUGGGCAUCUAGUGCACAACUUGUUAAACCUUUCCCAGUAUUCAUACAGGGACUCACCGGGAUAUUGUUUGAUGCCGCAAAUCUCCUUCCUCAAGCUUGCAGCCCGGGAUGCAGGGAAGAAUUUUUCCAAAAAUUUCUUCUUUAACUGUACCCAUGUGGUAAUACUACCCGCUGGUAGGUAGUAUAGCCAAUCCUUGAGAGAGAAGGGGAAAGCUCUAAGUCUUAUCUGCUCCUCAGUGACCCCAGGAGGUUUCAUGCUGGAGCAAACUACCUCGAACUCCUUGACAUGUUUGUGGGGUUCUUCGCCAGAGAGACCAUGGAAAGAAGGUAGAAGGUGAAUCAACCCCGACUUCAGCUCGAAAGCAGUAUUCUCUGCCAAAGUGGGGAAUGUGAUGCAUAAGGGCUGAUGAGUCAACUCCGGGGCAGCCAGUUCCCUCAAUGUUUGGGUGUUGGCCAUGCUUACUUCGUCUUCCGCUGAUUCGUCUGCAGCAAAUAAGUGCCUUUCUUUUUGUCUCUUGGUCUCUUGCCUCCGCCUACGCGCUGCCUUCUCAACCUCAGGAUCGUAUACCAAGUCACCUGUGCGAGAAGAACGGGGCAUAAACUAGCAAAAAUACCAAGAAAAAUAAAAUAAAAUAAAAAUAAAAUAAAAAUAAAAUAAAAACUAAAUUUGAAAAGAAACAAAUAAUUCAAAUGCCAACUCCCCGGCAACGGCGCCAAAAAUUGACAGGUGCCGAACCUGUGCAAUAAUAAUUACUAAAAAGUCCUAAUUACCACCUCAAUUAAAUAAUUAUAGAACAAAUCCAAGUACUGGAGCAGGGACCCUAGGUGUGCAAUGGGUUACUUGAUUCACCCUGUUCCCGAAGAGUUUGCUUGAUCCGAGAUACCGAUGUUGUCUAUAAAAAUACUAAUUUUGCGUACAAUGGCAAGUAGGGUCGAUUCCACAGGGAGCAGGUAGGAAAUUAUUUCUUUCCAAAUCAGCAGAGCAAAAUUUGGGGGAUUUUCAAUGGGAGAGGAAUAAAUAAAAUAAAAGUAAAAUAAAAACAAAGCGAACUAAAUUCAAAACCAACUCACAAAGCACAAUUAACUAAAAAUAGCAAUUAAUAAAAGUUCUACCCAAAGGAUCAACUGCUCAGGCACUGUCCAAUUAAAUGAUCAUCGAUGCAAAGAUAUUUCACCCAUUCAUCACUAGAUUGGUUAUAGCUAUCAAUAAGGUCUGACAACCAAUUCUUCCUUACCUUUUCGACAGUCAAGGUACGACCAUUGAUUGCUUCCCUAACCAGAUAACAACCCUAGGUACGACCUUAGGAAUUUAAUUACCCAAUUGCAUUAAAAUUAGAAGAACCCAACCCUAACCAAUAAACACGCUAAGAGGGUUUAUUUAAACUAGAUCUUGCAUUUCCCCAUCAUAAAACCAAUUAUGGUGGUUGCCACGGGGUGUUAACUAAAUGAACAAUUACGGAUUCUAUUUAAUUAACGUGGCAGCAGGCUAUUAAAUUAAAUCAAAUACCCGGCCGUUGAUAUUCAAUUAAUAAAAUACCCAUGAACAAUUAAUUCAGGAAAUGCACGAAUAGCAAUUAAUCGGAGGAAAUAAUGAAGAUUCGGUUAGAUCUCACAGAUAUUAUGGACCGCGCCUUCGCGUCAACCUUUGGGUAGAGGAGGAAAUUAGCCGCUCCUCAUCGUUUCAAUCCCGCGUGGUUUAAUUGACUUCAUUCAAUUAUUUGCCAAGGAAUUGGGAAAGGGAAAUUAACUGCAAUAACAACCGAAAAGGCCCUGCCUUCGUCCCUGCUUCGGAGUCCCAAUUACAAAGCCAAAGCUACGAAUGAACUGUCCAGCGGAAAAGUUGAAAGUCAACAGAGAAAGGGGCGUCUAGCGCCUGGGAAAAGGAAAAAAACUAAAGCUAGCGUUUUUUAUUCGAUGUCAAAAUUCCUAUCUAAUUUGCUGCCCCCGAAGAAACAAAAGCGAAGGGCGGCGUCUGACAAAAAGUAGCCAAAAAGAAAACUAAAGCUAACUCCCGAUUCUGAAUCUCUUUUUCCUUUUUAUAUGCAGUGCCGCCCAAGAGAAGUCAAGAAGCAAACAGACGUCUGGCCCAAUUGAUUGCAAAAGGUAUCUCCUUUGGAGUUUUGAUCCCACGCUCCGGGUUCACGUGGACCACGGUCCGUCUUUCGGUUUCGUCCACCUUCCAAGGCGUGGUCACGCCCUGGGACGACAAGUCUUCUGGAAAUUUUUCCCCGCGAUAUCUUUUUAAUGCUAACCACCUACAAUUCACACAAAUGUCAAAUAUGAGUGAAAUCCCCUUCUUUAGCACCAUGAAUAGCCAAAAUUAGGACAAGAUGACAGUGCAAAACGUGCCAAAUAACGGCUCUAUCAAGCAUGCUAAUGGUGGUGGGAAGCAAAACUUCAGCAUAGUUAAGAAUUGAUCAUUUUGACAUGAGUAGUUAGAAUUGCAAGAACAAUAAUACAAUCAAUGGGAAGGGCCAUAAACUUCAGCAUAUUCUCACGCCACGUUAAAAUUAAGAAACAAGAUGCAGAGUUGGGCGUGCAAGGUAAAUUUGGAGAGCACAUUGAAGUUUCCUCUGUUUAUGCAGCCUGACUUAAAGCCCCAGUUUGUAAGGUAGAGGGAUUCACUCGGAAGAAGAUCAGCAUCUCAAUCCAGUUAAAACACCGUGGUAGAUGGAAGCUAGCACUUGGAGUUUGAUUAGUAUCAAAAGCAUAUUCAAUGACCUAAUUUGCAUCUAAAUUCUAAAUACAUGCAGCUACCAAUAGAUUUCGGUUAGAUAGUCAUUAGCUUGACAUCUUUUCACACUGUUAAAGGACACUCUGAUUGUUAUCUGCAUCCAUGCAAGCCAUCUUGACAGUUAAGAGGUACUAACAUUUUCAACAUUUGCAGCUAGUUUGGGAGUUUUAGACAGAAAAGAAAAGAAGAGAAAGCUCAAGUCAUGAAAGAAAAGAAAAGAAGAGAUUUAGUUUUGAUAUUGUUUGGGAUUUUAGUAAAGAAAUAAAAUGAUAUUGGAUACAUAUGCCAAUAAAAUUUUGUUUAAUAGACAUUUAAGUAUAAAUUUGGUAUUUUAAACAAUUUCAGAAAGCUUGCUUCAACUCUGUUUUGUUGGAAAAGUAUUAUUAACUGUAAAUGCAUCCAAAAUCUUCUCAUUUUCUCUUUUUUUUUUUCCAUCACUCCACAACUCCCAAACAUCAUAAAAGAGCUAUAUUCUCUCACUUUCUUCUCAUUUCCUGUCAAAUCUAAGCUCCCAAACAAAGCAUUGGUCUCCACAUGAUUUACAAUUACCUAACUUAAGCUCCAGUGUGCAAAAUCUAAUAUCAAAGGAUGAAUUACGUAAAUGUAACUUCAACGUCUACCAAUCUUUUAUUUCCUUUCUUUCAUUACUACCUCCAUUUGCAGCACCCUUCAUAUUUGAAAUUUUGCAAUUUUUGACAGCUAUGGUGAAAAAAAAAUAAUGGCUCUAAUGUCACAACACAAAUUUUAUUUCCACAAUAAUUUUUUGCAUAAACUACUAAAUUUGCCCUUCUCAGGUCCAAAUGUAGUUUGGACGUAAUGCGUCAUUUUAACAAAAUUUGCUCGGAAAAUAAAUUUUGAGCUAUGGCAAUAUGAUUUGUCCUUGCUAUUGCUACUUAAGCAAACAAUGACUGCAAAUCAUUAGCUUGUCCUCCCUCAUCUAUUGAUACAUGUGUCAAAUAUCUUUAUCAUUCCAUUAUCCAAGAAUUAGAGUAAAAUAUAUGCUUUAGUUUGCUAUGAGGGACUCAAUCCGUGCAAACACAAACAUUAGAGUAAAAUAUAUGCUAUAGGAUAGUAAUUUUUUUGGAAUUUUUUUGUAGGAAAAUAGACUGUAGCACUUGUUUUAAUAUGAUGCGUAUGAGCUAAAAAUAUUAUUAGAAAAUGUGUCAAGAUAUAUUCUUGGAAAAAUCUGAAAAAAUUUUCUACAAAAGAAUACAAUCCAAACAAGGUCUAAAGAUGCCUAACUGACAAGUAAGCUUCUUUUUUUUUUUUUUUUCUCAGAAACAACAAAAGUUAUAUUGAUAAAAUCAGAACUUUACCCUUGUAGAGCAACGGUUCCGAGAGGCAAUACAAAGGUGUUAAACACCUUGAGAAUUAUUCAAUUCCUCAUCACUACAAAUACCUACUACAUAAGUACUAACAUAUUUACUUAUAUUGUCAUUUGCUAUAUCUAAACAAAAAGAGCAUUUUUGCAACAAAGAGCUUAAAUUGUUGAUGUCAUCCAUCAGAGUGGCCAGCCUAAUGUCUUUGGUUUUUCUGGGGAUUAAUACCACUUUGUCCCCCCAAACUUUGGACGAUUACCCACUUCAGUCCCUAAACUUCAAAAUGGGACACUUAAAUCCCUAAACUUAUACAUACCUCCCACUUGGAUAUGUAGUUUGAUAGAUAAUGGAGGUUCCUUGGUAUAUAAGUUCUAGAGUUUCCUAGCUCGAGGUCUCUGCUGUUUCCACACAUUUUUGGCACAAGCUCAAACUACUCUAAUGCUUCUUGUCUUAAUAUAACUACUGAAUGUUGAUAGCUUGAGCAGAGUCUAUUGGAAAACAACUAUGAAUAAUCUGGAGGGGUCGUGGUUUGGAGGCCUGAUGUUUUCUUUAUGGCUGUUUAGAUGGGUAGAACCUGAAAAGGAAGCACGGAGAGGAGCUAUAAUGGAUGUACCAUUAUCUAGGACGAACAAUGACAUUGUCCAUUGGGCUACAUCAAAAUCUAUAAUGCAAUCUUUAACAUAUUUCAGGUUUAAUCAUUUGAAGAAAUUGUAUCCACAGUCAGCAUUUUCGUGAUCAAUAUGUCAAAACCUACAUUGAUUUGUUGUUAAAGCAUCUUCAUUUACAUAUAUGCAUUACAGGGAGCUCAUCCUUCUAAUCUUUUAAAAAAAGGACUGGUCUCAGUAUUCCUCUGAAUCUGAAAGUAAACAUAAAGAAGUAUUCACAAUCUUCUUUGAUCUAAGACAAGGAUUUUCAGAUUCACAUUUCCCCCGUUCAUCUCUUCUUCCUUAAUCUCUUGAACCAAACUUCCAACAUGGCCCGGACAGCGAUGCACCUGAAUCAAUUCAAGAGUUGGAAUUUCCCCCAAACAAGAAGGAAGCUCCUCCAAGUUCAAGCAGCUUUCCAAAACCAAUUUCGGAAGACAGGGGAGAUGAUCACCGGAGCACGUCCACCUGACAAUGCACAACAAUUCCAAUUUCAAGAAUUUGAGUUUAGGGAACUCCCCUUCUUCCAUGUUCCAUAUUUCUUCCCCACCAGCUUUUGUACCCAGUAAUUUGAGAACCUCAAGAUUAGGUAGUCUUCCUAUUGAGGAAUCAUACUCCAGGGAAAUACUUCCAGGGUCAACUUUUUUAGAUUCAUGGGGAAACUGAACUCAUAAUCCUUCUCUUUCACACCCUAAAAAGACAGCUUCACUGACUCCAGUCGUCUCAGAAAGUCCAUUGCCACAAUCCUGUUCCAAUCCCCACAAGAUUUUUCUGUUUCAGCGAGACCGCAUUUCAGUUUGCGGAUAUUUGGAAACUUCUUCAUUAUCUUAUCCAUGCUUUGCCCCAAAUCAAGCUCAAGACAGUAAGAGCCAUCGAUGAGGUUCCCUGUUGAGCUUUGGGCCUAAAAUCACUGCAAAGCACAAAUACUCAAACUCAAGACGGCAUAUAGCAUAGAAUAAAGCCAAAAGAAAUUUUCAGAUAAGUGCAGGUUCUGUGUCAUUGUAACCAAAGCCCUAAAAGAAAAAACUCACCAUAAAAGUAGUAGCACCAACAAUCAUAAAAGCAGAGAGAGCUUAAGAGCCUUUAUCAAGAUGGAUUCAUUAAGAGCAGCAAGCAGGGUUGACUAGCUACUGGAAUGCUUCAAAAUAGUACAACUUCAUUGCUUGAACAGUACAUCUUCCUUGGCUACCUCAAUAAUAUCUUCAUCAUGACACGAUUUCUUUUGUUUUAUGCAUAAUAUGAAAUUUUGAACCAAUACAUGAAAUUGAUGACCAAUAGCUGCAAAACCUCCUCGAUUGACCGUUGUCUUCAUGGGGAGAAAGCCAAAACAAAGGAAAAAUGUGUCAGAAAACCAUCAUAUGUGACUCUGAUAGCAAUUACUAAUCAAAUGGUUCAGAUAAGAUUGCAAGUUCAUUAUCAAGAGGUAAAAGUUCAGAGAAACCAUUUCAUCGCCUUAGAAUCACAAGUUUAAAUGGAAUGAGCUGACUUUAGCAAUAAUACAGAAUUGGACAUGUAAAAUCAACAAAACUAGACUGCCAGUUGUUUUAAACGUUGAUGGGCUAUUUGGAGGAAAUGCAGGCCAAAAGUUAUUGAGUUCCAGCCAUAAAGAUCGUGCUGAAGAGGCUUCAAAAUUCUGUCCUCUGUUCGUCUAAGCAAAAGACCACAAAAAUCAGCUAGGAAAGUACUGGAGAAAGGAGUGUGCUUUGGCAUACAAAAUGCAAUUACAUUUUCCACAGGUGAAAGUUCAGAGAACCCGUUUCAUCCUCAUACAAAUCGCGAGUUAAAGAGAGAGCUAAUCUUAGAAAUCAUAAUGUACAACAGAUUGGCUGACAUACAUGAUAAGCAAAGUCAAGUCAAAUCUUAAUUUCUUUAACAUGUUGCUUGAUUAGUUGAUUGUUUCACUUCUCUUUUAAGCAAAACUUGCUUUGGUCACCCAAGAAAAUCUUGUGCAUUUGGUUAUUAACUACAGAAACGAGAUAAUAACUCAAGCUUCCAAUGAAGUCAUGUAACCAUCGCCUGUUAAUGGUAAUGUUUAUAAAGUACCUAUAACUUUGAAUCAUGAUGCAAAAACCUAAGAAAGACACCAAUCAAAAAUGAAAAGAAGUACUUCAUGCAAUUCUUCAAUUUUUGUUAAGUGACCACCAACAUAAGAUUUACUGAACAUCAUAUAGACCAAGAAAUUUUGGAAUAACUAGGAAUCUUAUGGCAACAGAAUCAUUCUAGACAUGCUAUUUUUAGCUACAAAGAGAACAUGAAAACUCAGAAAAUCAUGUUGUAUGUAAUGGAGCUAAGAUGCAGCUUCAAGAAAGGUGGUGAGCAAAGCAAUGCAUAUAUCCUUGGAAGCAGACCCUCUAAAACUUUCAAACUCUUGUUACUUAAUCAUUUUUGUCACAAUACAUAUAUCACCUCAACUAAGGCAAUAAAUAAAAUUCUUCUUAAGAGUUUCACUGGAGUAUGUUCUCCUACAGAAAAAAGGAGAAAAAAUCUACAAUUUAAAUGGUCUGAAAUCUUUCUAUGUUAGCAAACCCACAUAUUUCUGUGCUGGGACAUACAUUCAUCUGACGCUUUAUUCCAGAAUAUAACACAUUAUUUGUUUCUAGCAAGUAAAUAAGUAAAUAAAACUUUUCACAGUUAAUGGUGGUGAGUACCUGAGUUGGAUGAGCUCAGAUUUAAAAAUCCCAAGAAAGCAUGCUGCCUGCAUUAUAAAUAAGAUUGAACAAGAAGUUCCAUUACGUUUUUGAGCUGGAAAUCUUACAGAAAGUAAGAGUUUCUUUUUGUUAGUUUUCACCCUAACAAUAAUGAGCAGGUAAUAAGACUUGAUACCAUACACAAAUAUUUAUUUGGUUAAAAUAAAUGUGCUAACCUCAGUGUUACUCUUGAAAGUUGGCAAAAACUCCAAUGGUUAAUGUGUGACUCUAAUACGAGCUCUGUUGCCAACAAGAUGCCAAUAAUGAUCAUCAGAAGGCCAUGGUAAUGAUGGUUUCAUAAAGUACUCCAGAUAAGUUGGGGCAAGAAAUUUUUGGCCAGCAGCUUGUACGGGCCAGUUACAGUCACUGAGCAAUCAAAAUCCAGACCUACAACUUCUGUAAUUUAGCGUCAGUUAGUUUCAAAGAUAAGAAGCCUGGAAAAAAUAAGCAAAUGCACAGUGUUAUAGCAUGUUAGUUUGGACAAUUGCACCUCAUGAUUAAAAAGGCACAUUGAGAGUGUGCAAGCUCCCAAGAUAAGGACAUCAGGCGUUGGCUAACUAAGGCACCAAGAUGAAAGAAAAGAGUGCCAACAUAAACAUUUCAGUCUAACUGAAACAGGAUCUGGUUCAACACAAUUCUCAAAGAUGCAUGCUCUGUAAUUAUUAAUUACCAGCCAUUGUAGAUUUCCAGUUGAGCUUUGAGCCUAAGGUCACUGGAAAAUAGAAAAUUCGAUCUUAGACAGUAUGUAGUGAGCAAGAUAUUUCAAAUAGUUCAGUCAAUCCAAUGAAAAGCCAAAAUCUGUGUCUUGUUGGCUUUUAAGCUAAAUAAAUAAGCAGUCACGUGUACAAUUUGCCCUACUCUUAGUCUACUCUUGUUCCAAGCAGGAAGUAAGUAAUUACAACUCAUAACCUGAAAAAACGGUGGGCAAUUUGUAACACAAUCACAGCAAAAAUAAUUUAAUAUCAGCGAUAUGUAUGGUGCUGAGGAAGAUUAAAUACAACAAGAAUUUACUUUAGUUUUGCAUGCAAUAGACAAUCAUAAUCCACUUGGCAGGAACUGGAAAAGGAGCAAGGUCAAGAGUUGCUGGUAUGAAUUGGAGGUCCAAAUCUGUGAUAAAAGAAGUGUGCUACUGCUGUAUGUGAUGGGAACAUGAAACAAGAAAAGUAUCUUCAAGAGAUUAAAUUUCAAAGCAGCCAUUUUUCCCCUGUAGAAUCUCAAUUUUGAAGAGUUUUUUCUGAGGUUUUAUGUUGAUUUGGUUGACCACUUGUUUAUGCGUACAUCUUUGGGUGACCCAUGAAAAUCUUAUGCAUUCAGAUGCUAGCUAGUUUAGAAAAUAUAACGCAGACAUUCAAUAAAUUGGGCCAUCACUUGCUGUUAUACUGAGAGAUAAAAGUCGGAACAGUGGCUUGUUUUCAUGCUAAUUCAUGGUUACAGAGUAUUAAGUUGUUAAGAGGGGGAAAAUGAAGAGCACUAAUGUUUUCAACCAUAUAAGAUAUGCUAAUUACUGAUACAAUAGGACAAGAAAAAGGGAGGAGAGAAAAUUGGGAAGAAUAACCACUGGGAAUUCAACUCUCUUGUUUUUUUCACGAGAUGGAUAAUCAGAGGAGGAGGAGAAGAGAAGGCAUAUCUCAAAACGACAAAGAGAUUGAUUGUAAGGUGAAUAAAAAGAAAUAGAGAAGAAGCAAUCUUACAUGAUUGAGAAGAAGCAUUGGGAUUUGAUUUAUUGACGAACUAACGGUUGACCAUCUAUGCUUAUGUUUUGAAUACGAGGAGGAACCUUGGACCACUCAUCGGGGCUGCUGCUCUGAGAAGUGAACCUUUCCUUUAAUAGUGGAGAACCAUCAAUAGACAGAUAUGUUAAAUUGGCGAGGCAACUUAUGGCAUCGGGUAAGGUUUCUACUUCACCAAAGUCAUGUAGAGCUAGUGAUUUGAGGGUGGUCAAAUCUCGGAGCUGACCUGGCAGAGUCUUCAUGUGUGGCAACCCACGUAAUUUUAGUACCUCAAGUGUGGAUGAAGAGGAGGAGGAGGAGGAGGAUGUCAAUCCAGACCAAUCAAAUUUGUUGUAAACCAGAGAAUUUUCUUCUUCAUCAUCAUCUGAGAAGGGACCAAUUGAAAGUGUCCUUAAACCAGUGAGGAAACCAAAUCCUCGGGGCGUCGUACUAGUUUUCAGAUUGGGACAUCCCCACAACUCCAUCUCUAAGAGAGAAGGCGUGUGUCGCAAAUCAAGCUGAAAGGAGGUAAGAUUGUGGCAUUCAGUCACCCGAAGCUUCUGGAGAGAGCUACAAGACUGCAGCAUAUCAGCGGGCAGAUUCGUCAACCCACCGCAUUUAUGAAUCGUCAGCUCCUUAAGAGACGUAAGGUUUUGCAGAGGAGGAAGUUGUCUGCAUCUGUUGCAGUUAUCAAAUCCCAAACUCACUAACUUGGGGAGUGUUGUUGGCAAAUCCAUUGACCAUUGAGGAAAUUGAUCCCCCAUGAAACCUCGAAUUUUCAACUCCUCCAGAUUGGGACAUCCCCGUAACUCCACCUCUAAGAGAGAAGGCGUGUGUUGCAAAUCAGGCUGAAAGGAGGUAAGAUUGUGGCAUUCAAUCACCCGAAGCUUCUGGAGAGAGGUACAAGACUGCAGCAUGUCACCGCGCAGACUCGUCAACCCACCGCAUUUAUGAAUCGUCAGCUCCUUAAGAGACGUGAGGUUUUGCAGAGGAGGAAGUUCUGUGCAUCUGUUGCAGUUUUCAAAUCCCAAACUCACUAACUUGGGGAGUGUUGUUGGCAAAUCCAUUGACCAUUGAGGAAAUUGAUCCCCCAUAAAACCUUGAAUUUUCAGCUCCUCCAAAUUUGGGUGGGGUGGAAGGCCAUCCAACACAUCUACGUCGUUGUAGUCGUCGCCUUCUCGAUCAAGGGCCCACUCAAGAUACAGCCUAAAUAGAUUUGCCUUUUCAGAUAGUUUUGCUUCCUCAGCUCCUUCCUUAUCCUUCACCAAUUGAAGAUUGCGUAUAACUAAUUUGCCUUUGAGGUUUUUCAAGAAUCCAAGCUCUCCAAUUCGUCGACCCUUCUUUCGACCGACGUUGAAGAACUCUAGUGUCUGAAGGCAAGUCAGCCGCCCCAUCUUCAAUGGCAUUUCAAAUUUAUCAUCAGGAUUCUGAUAGUGGAGAUGCCUCAUGCUGAUCAAAUUGCUCAUCUCCUUCGGAAGAGCUUUAAGAGUACCACUAUUUAGCCUCAGCGUCUGCAAAUUAUAGAGUUUACAAACAGAUUGGGGCAAAGUCCCACUUCCAGAAUCUGAAAAGUCAAUAAACCGCAAGUGUAUCAGUUUGCCAAUUGACUUUGGUAGCUUCUGAUUUCUUACGCCAGACAGAUUCAGAACUUACAAAUUCUUCAACUUCAUUAGCACAUCACCAGAUGAGCUACUGCUCCUUACAAACAAUGUAUGAAGCAAAGAAGUUUUUAGACUCUUAAAAAGUUCUUCUCUGUCUUCUCCAAGUGAGUCUACUGCAAGGUAACGAACCAGAUCACCAUUGUGUACAUUACCAGUCUCCCUAUCACUAAUGACUUUGGUAGACUUUGACAUUGACUUUGCAUGUUUGUGCGCCACAUCUUGCAUCUUAUAAUAUACUUCCCAAAAAUCAUGUCUUAUUUCUUCCAACAACCAACUCUCCCAUAAAAUUCUCAAAUGAUUCAUUCCAGUUUCCUCCAUCAUCGUUUGGUUAUUAGGACAUGUUGGGAGGAAACCUUCUGCCAUCCAAAGUUCGAUUAGCAUAUCCCGUUCUAUCUUAGUAUCCUUGGGAAACAUAGAACAAUAUGCAAAACACUUCUUAAUGGAUGGAGAUGAUAAAUUAUCCAAACUCAAAAGCUUAUCCAAAAUUGAUCCCGACUCCUCUUUUUUGUUUAAAUCUAAGUUACGUAACUGAAGUCCAAUUAGACAUGCAGUAGCUGGUAGACCAUCACAUCUUUGAAGUAUUCUCUCUUUAAUUUUUUCCAGUUCAUCAGGUGCUUCUUUUUCUCCAAAUGCUUUCUUUAAUAGGAUAUACCAACAAUCCUCAUCAUGUAGUUUUCUUAAGGCAUAGACUUCAUGUUCUCUCCUCAAAGCAACAGACACACUACGUGCCACUGAAUCUGAACGAGUGGUGACAAGACACCAGCUUCCAAUGGUUUGAUUGAUUCUCUCCAAGGUGAUGAAUAAGUCAUCCCACAAUUUCGGAUUAUCAUCCCACACAUCAUCAAGGACUAGGAAAUAUCUUUCUCCCUGUAAUUGACUUCCAAUUUGUUGAACAAUGGCAUUCCUAUCGUCCUCGCCAAAUCUUUUUCCCCGUCGUUGCUUCCCAAUUUUUCCAACGAUGCCAUUCCUAUUUUCCCUGUCAACCUUUUCUACCGUCAAUUGCAAUAAAAUGAGUUUGAAAAGCUCCUCUAUUGAAACUCUUUUCGAUACACAAACCCACAACUUUACGCCAAAUUUCCCCAUUCUCUGGUGGUUGUAUAUUGAUUUAACCAAAUUUGUUUUGCCCAACCCUUCCUCGCCAGUUAUGGGAAUAACGGAUACAAACUUAUGAUUAGAUUCGUCCAACAACAUCUCCAAUAUAUUUGAUUUGUCAUUGUCUCUUCCAAAUAUUAGCUCAGGAGGAACAGAGUCGGUGGGCUGCCGACUUCUUGUGUCUCCAACAGCAGCAGGGAGGCCACCUCUCACCAAUGGCCCCCCGAAUACCCUGGCUUGGUUAUAGAUGUUAUCCAAGUUAAGUUUGAUGUCCCUGAACUUACAAACCAUUCUCCAGCGAAGAAUUGGAUUAAACUUAGAGAAGGAGAAGAAGCAGCGUACCUUCAGCUUGUGUGGGUUUCGGGACUCCACCUUGUGACGAAGAGAUUCAUAGUGGAGCUUAUCCAACACAUUGCAAGCAUUAUAAGCAAACUCUUCGAGGCUCUUCAACCAUUCUUGAGUUUCCUUAGUUGUCAGGUCCUGGUCUUGUUGCCUUUCCUCAGUUGCCAGGCCCUGGUUUUGUUGCCUUUCCUCGGCACCAGCCAAGACAGCAUUGAUAAAGGUAAGAGAUUGUCUAAUGUUGUCCACAUCCUUCUUGAACCCAAGUAAACUCCCAAUCCCAGAAGAGGCAAGAGACAGUGCCGUUUGCAAGGCGACCUGAACUAUUGCACCGGUAACAGGGUCGGCCAUUUUUUCUGCCCUGGAUUCAGUGUUGAGAUCAAGAUGGUUUGGAAGGUUUUUUGCAGCCAGGAACUGGUAAUAUUAUCUAGGCUUAGUAUAAUUGGCUAUGAAGAAAGGAGCAUUAAUAAUUACUCCGCAUAGACGUACAAUUCUUCUCUGACAAGGUUGUAAGCUUUUGCUUUGGCAUUUUAACCGUAACUUUCUCAAUUAUUGUAGUUGUUGGGGCACCACGUUCUCUGGUUGAAUGCUGGGGCCUCCAGCAUUAUUUUUUGUUGUAGACAAUUUGAAUGGUUGUUCCAUCCAACGAGGACACUUACUUUGGUCCACAAUCAAAUUGUAAAAAAGGAGAGUGAGAAUCAUAUUGCUAUUUUGGUCACAUGCAUAUCCUUAUUGUUAAUCCUUGGAGGAUGAAUUUAAUACAUAAUUUGGUCUGAAUCUUGUUUGGUUUUAGAAAGUGACCACACUGACCCAUGUAUAUAUAACUAAAUUACAUAUAUAUAUAUAUAUAUUAGUAAAUUUAUAAAAUAUUCUAAAAUUCUAUGAUCAUAAAUCAAAUACACUAAAACUUCAUGAUUGUUUUCUUUUUUCAACCUAAUUCGAGUUAUCAUUAUAAUUAGUACAUACAGUUAAAGUUUGAAAAAUAAAUAGAAGCAGUCAAUAAUAGUUAUUUUUAUCAAUUCAUAAUAUUGUAUUCAACUUCUUGAAUAUUAAUUUUAUUAUUUAAAAAUAAAAUUGGAUGGUGUUUAAAUUUUUUUUAAAUCUAUAUAUUUUUAAUAUAUUUUUACUUUAGCAUGUUUAGAAAAAUACAAUAGAUACACAUUAGAUUACUUUAGCAUCUUGGAUCUGGGUUUGGAUUUAUUUUUUUAUACCCCAUACAGGUUUGGAUCUCGAUCAAGGUUUAAUUAAAUUUAAUGAAUCUGGAUCUGAAUCAAAGGAAUCGAAUCCAAAUCCUAUCCAUUGAGACGGAGGUUAAGGGAAGGUGGGGGCAUUAUUUUUCCCUGCCUUAAAAUGAUGCUCCCCCAUCCCAUCCCCUGCUCCGUUCACUGCAAAAAUAAAAUAAAUUCAAUUAGUAAUGAGCUUAAUUAUAGCUAAUUAGUAAUAGAUAGAGAACACAAGACACAAUUCAAAUAAUUUCUUGGAGGAUAUGAUUUCAAUUUUCAACUUAUCAUUGAACUAAUCAACCAAUGCACACGCUGCCGGUAGAUUUAUAUGAAUGAAUGAAGCUUUGACUAAUACCUAUAUUACUAGAUAAUAUCUCUUGCGGAACUGAACAUACUUGGGAUUAUAUCUCUUGCUGGAUAAGAGGAAGAUAGUUGAGAUAGGAGAAUAGUAUGAUGAAGAGAGACCGGGAAAGCUGGGGUUGGGGGUGAAUCUCCUUAGUUAUAGUGUCAUAAAACAUAAUAUAUAUCUACCUAUAUCAUAAAUUGAAUAAUGUGAUAUUUUGUUGUGGGAAAAUGAUCCAUUGUUAUCAUCAAUUUAUUACGAGAAAAUAUUUAUUUCUUCUAUCAGUUUACUUCUUUUUUUUUUACAUAUUGUAUGUUGUUUAUAAAGAAAAAUAGCAAUUAAUUUAGAUUUUAUGUAAUAUCAAAUAUGGAUAAAUGAAUUCAAAAGAUCAAAGCAAUAUUUAACAUUAUUUCACAUUCAAUUUUUGUUUUUACUAAAAAUUAAAAGAAUGAUCAAUUAAAUCAUUAUUAGAUAUAUAUAUAUAUGAUAAAGUAUAAAAAUUAUACAGCAGCCCCAAAGAAGUCACUGGCGUAUACUGUUGUUGCUUCACCAGUUACUCGUGGACGAGGGGCUGGAGCGGUUGUCAAACAACCGCUCAUAAACUUUUCAUGGCCAAGAUGUGGUGGGCCCAUCAUCAACAGCCAAAACGAAAUCGAACAAAAUGGAGAUGAGUGUAGAGGAUUGUUGCUUUAAUACAAGCUUAACUUUUAACUCCGUUUGGUCUAGCCAUUAAGGGUAUGAAAAAUUCAAAAUCAAAAUUUGAAAAUCAACUUUUGGUACGAUCGGCGAGGUUUAAAACUCUUUCAACUUAAAAAGAUGUGGGAAGAAAAUGGCGGUAGUGGAUUUUCUCUGAAUACAAUACAUUGUCGUUGUAGCUCCUUUUGUUCUUCUCCUCUCAAUAAGCUCCUUCUGUUUUUCCCCUCUCAACAAAUUAUUUCGCAUAACAUAGACAUAAAUUUUUGUCUUCUUCUCUUCCAACUCUUAAAUAAAUCCUAUCAAAACGGGCAUCUUGUCUAAGGUGUGCACAAUAUAAUUGUGAAGAUCCGCUACAGCAACAAUACACGCCGAUUUAAGUAGUGGAUGACUGAGAUAGAUAUUCAUCGAGUAACAAAUGCAUAACUGAGACUUGUGAGUGGCCCAUCUGAAAUUUACUGCAUGGUGAACUCUGUCCAAGGUAAACGCUAAUAUUAUAUGUAAUUUGAUUGUAAUAAAUGUGUUAUUUAGUGAAGCAUGAUUUAAAAAUUAUAAGAAGUAUGUCAUUAUCCUUUUAGAGAGAAUGGCUAGUUUGUACAAUAAAGAUCCCGUACAAAAUUUUAAAAUAUAAAUGAGGAUGUGUACAAAUAAAAUAACAUAAGCGUAAAAAUAACUUAACAAUGUGACCAACUUAAAUAACUACACAAACGGUAUAGAUGACAAUGUAUAGAUUUUGAGAAUUCUGUCAAACCUUACGCUAUGUAAAAGUGUAUGAGGCAUACAUGCAUUUGUUAUGUUACAAGUUGAUAUAAAGGGUGUACACAUUGUUAUAAAGUGUGUACAUAUGAUUGUAAAGUUUGUAAAUACUGAUAUUAUACACAAAUUGGUUAUAAUAUUUGUUUGAAAUGUAUAUAUUAUAAAGUGAAAUAUGCUAUGCAAAUUAUUAGAGUUAUGUGAUUACCUAUUACAGAGAAGAUACAUAUCCAUAAAAAUUAUUUUACAAAAUGUUGUAAGGUGUGUACACGUCGUUAUAAAGUAUGCACAUAUGUGAAUACAAAUAAUUAAGUGCUUAUGAUGUGAAUAAAGAAAUAAAAAAUAAAUAUAAUUGUUUGUCCUGAAAAAUAAUAGCAAAAAAUGCUUUUUUCGAAUACAGCACAAUGGAAGAAGCAUUGUGUCCUAAGAUCGGCAUGGAGUUUCAGUCAGAAGAUGAGGCAUACAACUUCUACAAUAGGUACGGAUUAGUUAUUGGAUUCAGUGUUCGGAAAGACUACUUGAACAAGGAUAAAGACGGUGUAGUUACAUCGAGAAGGUACACAUGUUGCAAAGACGGUUUCAAACCACGGUACGAAGGAGAUGUAAAAUCAAAGAGAACUCGGGCUGAAACAAAAACCGGAUGUUAAGCUAAAAUGGGGAUAAUUUUGAACAGAGAAACAAUGAAGUAUCAGGUUUGAGAUCUGGUAAUCGAGCAUAAUCACACACUACACAUUUCAAAAUGUGCUCAUAUGAUGCGUUCGCAAAUAAAAGUAAGUAUUUUUCAAGAAACCCAAGUUGAGAUUGCAAAUGAUGCAGGAAUAUCCUUGAAACAAUUCCAUGAAUUCAUGGGAAAAGAGGCAGGUGGAUUAGGCAAUAUUGGCUACACUCAUGAUGACUUAAAACGCUAUCUACGAACAAAAAGAGAGAGGGGAUUAAAGUAUGGUGAAGCUGGUGCAAUGCUACGAUACUUUGAAGAACAAAAAUUGAAAAAUCCGUCAUUCUUCCACGCAGAGCAGCUUAAUUGUGAAGAACAAAUUACAAAUAUAUUUUGGGCUGAUGCAUCAAUGCUGAUGGAUUAUACCUAUUUUGGGGAUGUGGUUACAUUUAACACCACAUAUAAAACUAAUAAGGAGUACAGACCAUUAAGCGUAUUUGUGGGAUUCAAUCAAUUUAGACAAUUGGUUAUUUUUGGAGCAACUCUAUUGUAUGAUGAGACCAUUGAAUCAUUCAAGUGGGUGUUUGGUACAUUUGUAGAGGCAGUUUGUGGAAGACACCCAAAAACCAUCUUCACAGAUCAGGAUGCAGCCAUGGCCGCUGCAAUUUCGGCUGUUAUGCCUUCAACAUACCAUGGUCUGUGCACUUUUCAUAUUAGAGUCAAUUUCAUGAAACACCUUGGGAACUAUUACAAGGAUGGUAGUAAUCUUCCAUAUAGAUUUGUUGAAUGUAUGUAUGAGAUAGAAGAUGAAAAUAAGUUUAUCAUGGCCUGGGAUGCAAUGCUAAAAGAACACAAGCUCGAAACAAAUGAAUGGUUGUGUGGCAUUUAUGCAUGUCGAAAGAAAUAGGCAAAAUGCUUCAUGAAAAGCGCCUGGACUGCAGGUAUGCGUAGCACCCAACUAAGUGAGAGUCUAAAUGCUUCCAUAAAAAAUAUCUGAAACUUGAUCAUGAUCUGGUUCAAUUUUUCAAAUAUUUUAAUCGAGUUGUGGAUGAAAAAAGAUAUAAUGAACUAAGAGCUGAGUAUCACAGUCGACAGAAGCUGCCAAUGUUGGGAUUGCAACAGACUCCCGUACUGAUCCAGGCAGCUUCUAUAUACUCUCCAUACAUGUUUGUUGCAUUCCAGAAUGAAUACGAUGAAUCCACUACAAUGGUGAUCUUGGACCAAAAGCAUACUGCAAUGCAUGUGGAAUACAGUGUUAGUCAGUAUGAUGGAGAAAGGGUGAGAAGAGUGACAUUGAAUCCAAUAACUAAAUACAUUACUUGUAAUUGUAAUCUUUUUGAGUAAGAAGGAAUCCUAUGCUCACAUGCUUUAAAGGUGUAUGAUAUGGUUGGAACAAAAUUUAUUUCUGAUCAAUAUGUGAUAAAGAGGUGGACAAAGAAGGCAAGGUCAGGAGGCAGCGUCAAUUGCAAGGGUAGAGAAAUAUCAUCAGAUCCGUCUUUCUCUAUUUCCCAUCGAUAUCGACUAUUAGCACCCGAAAUGGUAAGACUUGCUACCAGGGCUGCCAUGUCAGAAGCCGCUACAAAGUUAGUCAGUAGCGUAAUGUCUAAAUUGUCAAAGAGAGUCGAAAUGCUAUUUUGUGGAGAAAUAGAUGAAAUAACACAGAAUAAUGGCUCAAUGGAUCUAUGUAAGGAAAUACAGGUGCAGAAUGCAACUGGCCACUUUGUGACUCCAACGGGUUUGAAGAAACGAAGUGGCAAAAAACCUAAGAAAGUAUUGCGUAGUUGGGUGGACAAGCUUCAUAGGCAAAAGAAGAACUCUACAUUGUCCAAGGCAAGCACUCCUGAGAUGGUUAGUACUGAAUCUUAUUUUUUGACUUACAUAACUAUAUCAUUUCAAUUGACUCUACUAUCAUAAGCCAACUCAGUUGUUGUAUAUUUUUGUCUUGUCAGUCAUCAGAAUCCUAUCAACCCAUCUAAAGCCAAACAUCAAGUAAAUGUUUGUCAUCGAAAUUCUGUGGCAGUAAGUAGUUAUUUUUAUACUUUACAUAAUGUGCAUUAUAGUUCACUGUUCGUUAUUUCGAUGUUACAAAUUAAUGUUUUACUUGUACACAUUGGUUCUUAAGGUAUGUAUAUUAGUGACAGGAUGUUCAUCACAUGUUAUUUAUUUUUGACAUAGUAAUAUCACUUUUUAUACAUAUUUUAUAGAUUAUUAAUUUAUUUGCUCACAUUUAUUUUUUAAAUCGUACAAGUUACAAUUAUUUUUUACCCGUUGUUUAUUAGUUUUGACAUCGUGUUAUUAUUUUGGUGCACGGUGUAUUUUAGUUGGUACACAUUACAGCGAUCUCUUAAUUUAAUAGCAUUUACAUGUUGUUAUUUUAUGUGUACAAACUGAUAUAUAUGUUGUACGCAUUUAUACAUACCAUGUACUACUGGUUACUUUGUUUUGAAAUAUCAUUAUUUUAUUUGAACACAUGAUUACACCUUUGCAUAAAAUUGUUUACAUAUUAUUCAUUUAUUUGCUCACAUUUAUUUUUUAAAUCGUACAAGUUACAAUUAUUUUUUACCCGUUAUUUAGUUUUGACAUCGUGUUAUUAUUUUGGUGCACGGUGUAUUUAGUUGGCACACAUUACAGCGAUCUCUUGAUUUAAUAGCAUUUAUGUGACGGCCCCACCUCCCCCUAGGGCGUACCCCAGGGUUUAGCGGACCGCUUGCCCAACUUUCGCCAGGACUCACUCACUCGUAUCUCAAGAAAAAAACUAAGAACGUAUAUCCAUAGAAAAUGAAUAACACAUCCACUUAAUAAAUACAUUGAUACUCAAAUCCAGAUACAAAACUUCUACACACUAAAAUAUUCCAAAGUGUUUACAAAUCGAGUACAAUCAACCCUAGUCGGGUACUAGCGUGAGUACAUAUUCAAAAUUCAAAACAACUAAAUUACGCUAAUCUGUACAUGUCUCAUGCCUCGCUCGUACCCCCUGUAAGGAAAACAAAUGGCGUGGAAUGAGUUAAACCCUCAGUGAGAUUCCAAAUAACAAAUUGACCAUUUUGAAAGUACGAAUAUCAACGUAACAAGUUAAUGGGCAUCAAAAGUUCAUAAAAGUGAACAAUAAUACUUCAAGUAGCAAAUCUCAAAGUGAGUGAGUGUAAAAGUUUUUUCAGAAGAAACAAUAAUCCAAUAAAUAAUAAUUAUUCCAAAGUAUAAGGAUACGGAUGGCUCUCAGGAGCCAAAUUCCCAUCACAUCACCAGAGUUUGAUCAAGUAAUAGUUGACACUCCGUCAACCUUCAAGUAAGUAACCAAUCCAGUAGAGCACCACUUACACUACUCUCCACCCACCAUUCACACCCCCUACUGGGCCCAAAAUCCUCAAUAAACACGGGUGGUAAUACUCGAGUAUACCGAUUAGUCGAGAAGAUAUCACUCCACUCGACAUAACUAACGACCCAUGGUUCGUUAUCUAAUCGACCAAACCCUUGCCAACUCGACUCGAUUAAUUAGCCAAUGGGGUUUGGGUCCCCAAGAAAUCGAUGAGAUAACCUCUCCAAUCGACGGAAUUAAGAUAAAAGUAUGGAGACGGGAAUGAGAGGCACCUCCCACUCGGAUUGAAUGUGGUAUAUACUUCCGCUCCAUACUUACAAAUUAAGUACAUGUAUAUCAAGUUAAUUGCAACUAUAAACAAGUAUAGAUCAUGUUAGGGCAAGUGCGAUAAAGUACACUCUUGCCCGAUCAACAAAUCUCAUAUCAAUUAUGUACAAGUAUUGUGAAUAAGUGUCCAGGUCAACCAGGUAUUUGGAAGCACUCACCCAAAAUGCGGUGCCUUUACGAGUUACGUUCGGGUAUUACUCUGUGUGCGGAGUCCAAAUCUGCGAUAAAACAUUGUUUAAGAACUUUUAAAAGUAACUAAAGUUCGAAACUUAAACGUUUCGUUCAAUAAGAAUCAAGAAAUUGAAAUUCACUUGGAGAAUAUUCGUGAAACACUCGCUCGCUUUUCAAACUAUAUAACUUUGUAACAUUAUACUUGGAAAUGUCAUUUGAGUCAAAAGUGCAAGGAAAACGUAUUCCGAGCAGUCAUUAUUUUAUUUCUAAAGGGUACAAGUUCGGCCAAAUCCUUACUGAUAUACCUCGGUAAAAGAACAUGCAAAUAUCCUAGAUGGUUCAAGAAGUAAUCACUCUUAACCCUUACUCAAGUUGCAAGUAUGUCUACCUAGCCCUUGAACGUAAAUUUGGGCAGCACGCCCUUUGUAUUUUCCUAUUUUUCAGCUAUUUAUGGAUUCAUUCUUUUCCUCAAUCAAACCCAAAGUUACACACAAACAAUCUCAUUUCAAUAGCCGUUCAAUAGGCUCAAGGUAAUACAAGUACAAAAUCAAGCUAAUGACAUGUACGGAAAUGAGGUUUAGCAAAAGACAGAUUUGACGUGUUUUUACGUAAUAGACACAACCAAAGCUACGCUUAUCGGAUUGGAAUGCAAUUUAUACCGUUUCGAAGCUAAGACAUAGGGCUACAAUUUUGAUGAAGAUCACUUAGUCCAAAUUCCAGUGUAACCCAGUCAAAUUCCCAAUUCACAGAACCAAAUUCUAACUAACCGGCUAAUUAACCGUACUACAUUUAAAUGGACAUAUCUCAAGCUACCAAAGUCCGCUUAAGACGUUCUUGGAGGCGUUAAAAAUCUAAGACAAAGUACUAAAACUUUUAUGUUUUGACUAAAAGCUAGUUCAGUACGUAUCAAGGUGAACAAACUCAACUAACUUAGUGUACUGUCAAAACUGUCCACUGACUUUACUCCUAUGGCAGUCGGGGUAUUUUCGUCUUUUCACAAGCUACAUUGAUCCGAUUGAACUGAAAUUUUGUAGAUAACCAUAAAAUAUCAUUCUCUACAACUUUCCUGUUUUGUAGCAAGCCUAAUUCAGCCUCUAAAAUGAUGAAAUAGAAUCGGGCAGAACUUAAGCUAAAUUUUCCAGAAAUCUGGAAUUUGUAUUAUUUUAAGCUAUAAUUCAUAUUUUCACCUUGAAACUACCACUACUAUCACCUUUACAAGAUCAUAUACCACAUAUAUGCAUCAUACAACACCUAACCCACAAGAAACCCUAACUCAAAAGUCAUUCAUUCAAUCAUCAAAAUCACUUGAAACAAGCAUCACAAACACAAUACCAACAUUAAUACCAAACUUAAUCAUGAUUAAUGGAGAAAGAAUGGUUGAUCAACCAUUAUACCUCAAGACACAAGCUUGCAAGGAUGAUCCUUCACCUCUCCUUGAAAUUCUUGGUUCCUUAAACUUCCCAAGCUUCCAACUAGUGAUUAAUCGGUUUAGUUUUUUUCUUGGUUGCACUCAAAUGGUUGGAUUCAAGGUAGAAGAUUGAAAACACUCCUCACUCUCUUCCCUCUCCUUGCUCUCGGCCAAACUAGAAAACAAAUGAGGGAAAAUGAAGCAAGAUGAGAGAUAAGAAGGCAAGACAAUGGUUGGUCAAGACACCAUAGGUGGUUGACACUUGUCACCACCAAGACCAACUAAAUUUUCUCUUUCUUUUCCUUGCAUUUUGGCCACAAUUUUCGGUCACAUGGCUGAGGAUAAGGGGGGGAUAUUUUGCACAAAUAUCAAGGGUAUGUGGUGGUAAGGAAGUGGUGGGUUCAAUCGGUAGUGAUCGAUACCCGUCGGUUUGAGCCGAUUUUUUUCUUAAAUCGCGUAUACUAGGAUUUUUACCUUCUAAUCACUAUCUUGUUAUUAUCACUUCUAAUCAUAUAAUAUUUCCUCAUCCAAAAUUCACUCUUACCUACCAAAUUUGAUCCCCAGUCUGUACCGAAAAAUCACACUACGAAAAAAUGUGAAAACCCUAAUUCGCUCUAACUGGAAAACGGACAACGAAACCCUUACUUCUAUAUUCAUUUACACUUAUUGUGGGGUGAUUGGGUAGUAGAGUUAUUAUAAAAUAAUAAUUUUCAAAUAAAAGAGCAUUUUUAAGAAAAUAUAAGGAAUUUGCAAGUCCUCACAAUUUACAUGUUGUUAUUUUAUAUGUACAAACUGAUAUAUAUAUAUUGUACGCAUUUAUACAUACCAUGUACCACUGGUUAAUUUGUUUCGAAAUAUCAUUAUUGUAUUUGAACAUAUGAUUACACCUUUGCAUAAAAUUGUUUACAUAUUAUUCAUUUAUUUGCUCACAUUUAUUUUUUAAACCGUACAAGUUACAAUUAUUUAUCACCCGUUGUUUAGUUUUGACAUCGUGUUAUUAUUCUGGUAUACGAUGUAUUUUAGUUGGUACACAUUACAGCGAUCUCUUGAUUUAAUAGCAUUUACAUGUUGUUGUUUUAUGUAUACCAACUGAUAUAUAUGUUGUACGCAUUUAUACAUACCAUGUACCACUGGUUACUUUGUAUUGACAUCGUGUUAUUAAUCUGGUACACGAUGUAUUUUAUCUUGUACACACUACAAAAAGACCUUUGCAAAUCUGUUGCAUAGUUACUUCAAUUUUAAUGCAUUGGUUAUGUGUUAUAUUCAUAGUAACCCAUAAGCUUGUAGUAUAACUUUACAGUGUAUUCAUUUAUGGUGACGUAUGCACUGAAUUUUGGAUUUUCUUUAGAUUAUUGUCGGUUGAUCUUUGUUUACAUAUUGUUAAUUCAGUUGAACACGUUGUCAUACAUUUUGUACACAUUUGUUUCAUAAUUUCCGUACAUCAUAGCAUCUUAAAUUUUGGACACAAUGUGUAUUUAUUUUUUACGAAUUAGUUAUUUUGCUGUUUUACACAGUGUUAGUAUGACUUUGCAACUAAUGUAAUGUGCCACUCGUGAUAACAGUCAUUUAGUGAAUCAAAUUUUGGAUCAUCCCCAGUUAUUCACUCAGAUAUGCAGUCUUGUAGGAUGGUAAGUGAGAGAUAUUGCAUUUGUGUGGAUAAUCAAGAUUUUGGACAAAUUUACAGUAUCUUAUUCAGUACAAUACUGAAAUCUAGCCCGGUGAACCUGGAAUCACUCCCCAAAUACUGGCUGCUCAUAACAUCCGUAUUGAAGAUUGUAACAAUCUUUCACUUUUGAUUCCUAACGAUCCUGUGAGGAAGACAAAGUACAGCUCAUUCACCGAAUUCUUAAUGGUCAGUAAUUCUUUGAAAAAAUUUAUUUAAAGUUAUUAUCUAGAAGUAUUCGUACCUUGCUACAAGACUAUUGUGUGGAGAGGUUUUUAUGAACACUGAAUAUUUGAUUUAAAUAAUUUAUUGCUUGUUUCAAUGAUUGCCAAACCCCCAUUGUGGCUUCUGUGGAAAGGUCAAAGAGCAGUACUCCCAUACAUAUAAGCGACGAAGAAGUGCAACUACCUACGAUAUAAAUGGGUAGAAGCUAAUUGCAUUCCAUGAAUAUGUAUGCUAAGAUGUCAAAUCUUGCGACCCUUUUGGAACUAGAUUGGAUCAAUGUAAUACUAAAAUGAUUGUUUUCUUUUUAUAUUAGAUAGUAAUUUGACAAUUGCAAUCAAUGCAGACUAGAUUUAGACAAUUUACAUCUCUUUAAUUGAGUAUAAGAAGUUAUAUAUUAACCGUGGUGUGCCAACCCUAUCUACUGCAAAAGGUCAAAAAAUUCUAAAUGUACCUACAUUAUGUACCUACUAAUAAUAUAACUUAGUUUUUAAUUAUAUUCCAAGAUAGAAUAUAAAUAAACUCUUAUUCACAGUACAUAUACCUAUUGUGUGGAGACUGUUGAGGCACAUCUGCAACUUGCAAUAUAAAUUCUUUGAAAUCCACCAUCCUAUCAAAUUGUUUUGCCAUUAUUAAUCCCAAGGUUCGCUUCUGCAACAUACAAAUAUAAUUGUACUGAUUACACUUUCACACUAGUUACAUAAUUUAAAGCCAUGGAACAGAUCUAUUAAAAAUGCAAGUUAUAAAUAGUAUUUAGAUUUCACCAAUCGUCGCAAGAUGUUAGUCUCUCGAACCCGUGACGAAUCAACUCGUGAGUCAAGGAGAUGAACAAUGCCUUGUGCAACAUCAAAUGAGUAUACAAACCAGUGAUUUUUGUUCACCACUGGAACCAGUAUCUAAAAAUAUAACGUGUUAGACUUUACAAAUGCAACACAUUUGAUAUAGAGUAAAAGAUAUUUGAUCCAGGAGUUAUAAGAGAUUGAUCACAAUAUCGGCAUUUGCUAGACUUGAAGCAUUAUCUGCUCUUAUUUUGAACCACUUGUUCAAUUGCGAAUAUAAGUCAUUAUCAGACAUUUUCUCAAAUCGGUCCACACGUUGAAUGGCAGCCUGCCCAACAAAUCAAUGAAAUUGGAUCGAAACUUAUAGGAUAGUUAGAAAUUGCAACACUGGAACCAAUACUACUUAUUAAAUAUUGGAAUCAAAUUUUCUAACUUAACUAACAAUGAGUGCAACUGUAUAUGCAUGGUGUUAGUUGGUUGUUAAAAAAAAGUUGACCAUUAUACUCACAACAACACAUGGCUCGACAAUGUACCACUUAACCUUCAUCAGUCUUUUACUCGCAUCCAUAUUCAACAACUUUGCAUACAUAUCAAUGACCUAAAAGAGAGGUGAGUAUAAGUGCAAAAUUUUUUUAGCAUUCCAAAAGGUGAAACUAUCUCCAAAACUACAAUAAGUAAAUUAGUGAAAUAAAAAAAUUUUGAUUUUUCUCUUGGCUUACGCUAUCUGAUACCCAUUGGUUCUCCCGCAAGGAUUGCAUAUCUUUUCGAUUAAGGCUAAAUUCGAACAUAUCCACUAAUAUCUCACUACAUUGAACAUUUGAGUCAAUAAUGUUAAGUUGAAUUAUCAACAGUUUUUGAAUAAAAAAGGCAUAUAACUCCGAAUAUUAUCACACACUAAUGAUUUUACCUCUGAUCUCCUGUGUCUUGCCAUGUGAAAUUCGCAAUCUUCCUUUGACAUUGUGUCAAAGUAACCUGGAUUUGGAGCUGAUAAUCAGUAGACCUAAUGAGGGUGUUGUGCCUUGUCGUCCGCAAUGUCUUGUGCAUUCGACCAUCUUCCGCAUCUAUAUUAAGUCAAGAAUAGCAAAUGUUUUUGUAAUGAUCAAUUUUCAUAUCAUUUACAAAGUGCAAUAACAAAUGGAAGCUGAAUUUUAACUAUAACAUAUAUAACUUGCCUUCGCGCUCUCUUUUUUCAUAUCUAGACCGACCCUUCCAUUGUGUUGCAGCACAUAGCGAAUGUUGCUCUACUGCAGCUCCUGAUGGGGAAGUUAUACCUGCAUCCAAGCAAUAAACUUCUGCAAUUGCCUUGGCAUCAUCUUUUUUUUCUUUAUCUUCGGGCUCAUUUGCCACAUUUUCACCAAAAUCAUCAUUCCUAUCCCCAACACAUGUCUCGUCUUGGUCGUUUUCAUAUUCAGAUUUAUCUGUAUCAGACUUUAUAACAACCGUUGCCUUCUCAUGAUGGAUCAUUCGCUUUUUUACCUGUUUUCUUGUGAUCUAACGGCUGGCUGGGAAGAUAAUGCCAUGGCACUACGUUGCGAGCAAAGGAUACUUGCUAUAUUCAUUACACUCUGUUGACACUCAAUCGCUAUCUGCUCGGCAUUUGCAGCUUUUGUAUAUAGAGUCGCUAGAUGAACCUGAAUAUAAAAAAAUUAAUGCAAUUAAUCCUUAUAUUGGUAUAACUUGGGACAUAUUUGAAUUCGUAUUAGAUUUAAUUUAUCAUCUUACAACAAUAUCUCCAUGUCCAUUAUUCACCAUCUGGAUAAUCACAUCCGAUAGAAGCUCAGUAGGUUCCUCUUCCUCAUCUUCUGCUCUGUCCGUUUUGUUUGACCCUACUUUUGUGGACCAAAAAGUAUAUUGUAAGUUUGACAAAAUAGUUAGUUGUGUAACAUAAUGUCUUACUAACUCAAAUUAUAAAAAUAUCAUUGUUUCAGCAAUACUUACUAGUUUUCCUUUGCCAAAUUUUCCAAGACCACCCAAUUCUAGUGUUUCUCUUUCCAUUAUAUUAGCAUCAGUCCAUGCUUUUGCUACAGGGCAGAUCCUAUGAACACAAUGAUUGAGUAUACUUACUCGAUCAUAAUAAUGUAGCUGUAAAAUAAUAACAGCUUAUCCUUGUUACAUAUAAUUAACAAAUAUAAGGUAAGUCACCCAAUAGUUGAGAUUUUCUUAACUUACCAGUAAAAAUAGGAUGCAACCUCCAACAUUUUUGUGGGCAUUGCUUUGCAUAUUCAACAAUUUUUUGCAUAAAUCAACUCUCACGAACUCAGCCCAAUUAAAUUUUGCUAUUUCUGAAGUUGAUUGUAAACUCUCCCAUAAAUUGGCUUUAAUUUCAACUCGUGUUGUUGGAGCAAGCAAGCACUUACAUGCAAAAAUAACAAAUAAUCUCUUGAAUUCAUCCCCAACCUCCAUGGAUAUUAGCUCAUCUUCUAUAUCAUGCCAAUUAUACUUCUUCUUCCUAGGAUAAUGUGGUUCGCUAUCAAUUCCAUCAUCUCUAGUAUCUUUAACCGGCACUGGCCCUUCACCUGGAAUUCCAAGAGGCUUUGCUAUAUCCUCUGAUGUUACAGGCAGUACACGUCCACCUUCAAGUUGUAUAUAUGAGUGAGUUGGAUUGAAAUUAUUCACCAACCACAUGCAUAUAAUACUUGGAAGGAUGUGGCAUUGGAUCUCCAAUAAUCCACCAAAACCUAUUUCUUUUAUUGCAGCUAUUUUUGCCCCAUCAAUACGCCCCACAAGCUUUAAAAAUUUAGCUGGUGUGCACCUAAACCUGUAUGCCUGUAAAACAAUAUAACAAUGUUGAUAAAAAUUAACAAAUAACAGCCCAAUACUUGCACUUGCACUUUGAAACUUCUAAAUCAUUUAAUUUAAAAAAUAUAAAAUUUGAUGCUACGUCCUUACUUGUUUCGUUUCAUCACUUUUUAUGCUUUUUCCCGUGUCUGCUAUAGACUCCUUGUAGAUUUUCAUCAGCUCCUUAUAUUUCUUCAUAUCUGCUUCAUUCUUCCAUACAAGCUUCUCCUCAUCACUCAGUUUGUUCCAUGCAUUUCUAGAGGCUAUGUUUAGCUCCUUCAUUGUUAAUGCAUUUCCCUUUGUUUUUUGCUUGCGUGCGAAGUCAAUCCUACCAUGAUUUAAUAUGAUUAGAUGCAUCACAUAGACUUAUGAUUUUAUCAUGAGUUUUUUAGCUAAUUAAAAGCCCCAAAUGUACACAAUAAUCCUUCUAUAAAGCCAUAUAUACCUGUACGCAAUGAAAUCACUUGGUGGCCUCACGGGUUUUACUGGAUUAUUGUCAUGAAGUUCCUCAACCUGCUUGCCUUUAUCUUUUGUAACAUUCAUCUUCUUGGUUCCCUGACGUCCCAUUUCAAACUGCAACAAAAUAAAUGACAUGACAAAAGCAUAAGGGAUAAUUUCAAUAUCGUAUCCCCUGAGGUUUCUUCACAGAAGUGUGACACGCUUCUGUUGUUACAAAUGUACAAGAGGUUUACAUAAAGUUAUAAAAUGUUCAAAAUGAAUUUUUUCAGAAAGAAGAAAGAUUAAGAAUUCCAAAAUAUUAUAAUACAUCUUUGCUGGAUAAAUAUUAAUUAAACAUUAUUUACACUAGUGUAACAUUAUGAAUUUCCUCUGCAGAAAGAAUAUAAAAUACACUUAUAUCUUUCCAAUUUCAAUCAUACAACUUAAGAGAGACAAUGUAUUCCAAAAAUAAUUGUCUGAGUUUGGAUUUUUUUUUCACAACACACUAAAUAGUCUGAAAAACAGCCUCCAAUGUUGACAAAAGUAUAAGCUGUUUUUAACUUAAUUAUGGCAUUCAAAUUUAUUAAGUUCGAAGACACGUAUAUGUAUAAAAAUAUAGUGUUAUUCCUCUUAGUUGAUAUUUCAUUACUAGGAAAUGAAAAUUCAAAACUCAAUAUGCAAUGCAAUACUUAACUUCAAAAAAAUAAUAAAAUAAAAAUCAUACCUCAAAUUUUGGUAUGUUCCUCCUUGUUCCACCUUCAAAUGCAAGUAUAGGCAAAAAUGCCAAAGUUGGUCCUUUAAUGUCCACAAGAAAGUUCUGCCAUGACAGUUAUAGUCAAAUUCUGACACUAGACAUAUAGCUAGUUUACCAACUUAAGAACCCAAUUAUCAGCUAAGACAUUAGACAUAUCAUCUUCACUAAAUGUAACCAUUAUCAUAGUGCAUUAUGAACCAGAACACACUUAUAAAGAAGACAAAGGGAUUGCAAUGAUGCAUAACAUCACCCUUCCACACUCUUUUCCACCAUGAAGCCCUCAAUCCUUCCCAGUUACUCAACUUUUGCACUAUGUUGCAUGAUACUUCCAACAAUAUAAUGGAUAAAAAGGGAAGAGAGGAAUCCCCUGCCUUUAACCUGUAUAGUUAUCAUAUAGAUCCUUGGUAUCCAUUCAAACUGGCUUGUAAUCUGAUGGUACAGAUACAAAAGCAAAUCAUUGGACCUACUCUUACCGAUUCCUUUGCAGCAUUAGGCUUGAAGUUUCCAAAUUAUGCAGUCAACUCACCCCCUCUUUUUUCUUCCCAUCACGUCCUCUUUGACUGAACAUAAUACACUUAGAUUAUAGAUAUCAAUGAAGACAUCCCUAGAUAGUUUGUAUACAAAAUAAGAUAUGCAAAGAAACAUACAUGCAUAAAGUUAACAAGAACAUUUUUGUGUCAGUUCAAAACUUAAUAUUUCAAGUACCCAAACAAGUUUAUUUCUUGAGCGUUUGAAAACCUUGUCUAGUCUUCUUUUAUAUGACAAAAAACCCGGGGCAGGGGCAAUUAAGAACGCUGCAGCCCAGAUGUUCAUGGGAAACCAAUACACAUGCACAUACUGCAAAUAAGUCACAUCUUCACUACACAUAAUGAAAUAAGGUUAAAGUGUUAUGUCCAUGCCUACCAUAUUCAAUUAGGUAUAGAUAAUUUCAAAGGGCUGUCUGGAAAUUUUGGAAAGAAACAUGUAUAAGUUAUCCAUAUGGAACAUUAAAAUCACCUACUCUACAAGUGAUAUCAAACUUUCUGUUACUACACAAAUCAGAUGCAAGUCAAAAUAUAAUAAAUAGUGCUCUAAACGAUUACUAGUGUAGAACUCGAGGCCCAUAUUAUAACCACAUAGGAUGUUCCGCCCAUCACCUCCAUCUAGUAAUCCUUUAUCUAACAAAUAAAACCAGGAGCUAUAUUUGCUGAAACUGUGUCAUAGCCAUGCAUUGAUCACUGAAAACAAAAAAGUACCGCCUUUAUGUUACUAUAUUUUCUUUUAAUGAAGAUUUUACUUCAGAAAUCUGAGUCCUAAGUGGCUUUAUUAUAUCACAACUUAGCAUCAACAAUUCAAUACUCCACUCAGAAGCCAACAUCACCUUCAACAAGAUCAUUGUAAAUGUCAUUAAUGUGAUGGACCACCAGGUUACUCAGUCUUGCUACAAUGAUAUUAGGCAUAUAUAUCUAUGUAGAAUUUGAGUAUUCUCAAACUCUUAGAUAUUAGACCCACAUAAACCUUAUUCUGUAAAUAACGAAGAAUAUAGUUUCAGGAAAUAUAAGGACAUAUACUAAGAUAUGGUGGCCUGGAUUAUCAUGUUUAAAAUGUUUUAAUGAUUUGAAACAAAUUUUCCCACAACUGAUAGAAGAAGAACAAAACUUCUCCUAAUUGAAAACAUUUUCACUAAACUGCUUUGCACAAAAAAAUAAGUAAUCAUCUAUCUAGAUAAAGUCCACAACAUCAGCCUUUCUCAGCAAGCUCAUGUCUGAGAAAUUUAAGCACAAAACUUACCCUUUUCUGCGAGCUUUCAACCCAAUACUUAUUUGGCUUUGAAAACCUUAGCACAACAUCAGCAUCCUAAAAAUGAUAGCAAUGCAGCUUAAGUUCUCAUUUUCAUUCUCCUUCCGCAUCUUCACUUAUAAUUUUGGGCUCAGGCCACUACGUUUUUAGAUAGAGUUUAAGUUGAUUUAAUCUACUACUCGAAAAUUUUAAAAUUUAAUGAACAAGACAACAACGACAAAGGCAAAGGAAACUUUUUGAGCUUCUGGAAACCUUAAAUUCAGCUUGCCCAUCAAUAGGCAAAAAACCAAAUAUUUUAGCAUAUCAUGAUUGCGAAAAGAAAAAAAAAACUUACAAUUAGCUUGAACAGAAUAUAAUGCAAAACUGAACAAAACAAGAUCAGAUUUUUUUUGUCAAUUUCUCAUCUUUUCCUUUUGUUCUUCUAAUAUUGCGGGUUCUUUUGAUUGAUUACUAGAUUUUCAAUAAUUUCGCAAUUAAAUAAAUUAAUUAAAAUCGAAAUUAACCACAACAACUUAGGCAGAAAAGAAUUGACAUUAAAAAUCGAAAAAUUCAACCAACAUAAUUGAGAGGGGUAAAGAAAAACCCUAGUGAAAACGGAGACAUUACAGGAGACAUUAAAGAGAAAUUACUAGUUUGUUAUAAGAUAAAAAUAAAAAAUCAGGAAGAAGACAUUACGAACCUGUAAUAUCUAGUUAACAACGAAAUUAUUAUUGAUUACGAACUAGUAACAACAAAAUUACUAGUUCGUAACAACAAAAUUACAGAGACAUUACGAACCUCCUCAAAAGGUUUGUAAGCAGGAAGAAAUUACAAGGGCAACAUAGGAGCAGAGAGUGUAAAAGAUCCCAUCUUGCCUUGCAGAGAGUGUAAAAGGAGGGGGUUUGUGGUAAAUAAAAAUCUGACACUUUAUAUGCUUUCUAAACUACCCUUGAUGACGAUGGAACUUUUGGUAUAAACAAAAACUUAUCUAUCUUUGACAACUAACCACAGCCAAUAUAUUUAUUUUUUUUACCAAGUAAUACGUAUUUUUUCAUAUUCUGUUUUUCAACUUAUUUAGUAAAUCUUAAUUUUAAUUAGCAACUACCAAUUAUGGUUAUGAAUAACUAGAAAGCAACUACUUUUUAUAACUUUUAUUUUGGUGAAUUUUUUAUAUAUGUAUUUUCAAAAUAUAAAACCAAUUUUCAUGAAAAUGAUUUUAAUAAAUAUGUUCAAAAUAUAUUUUCUAUUAGUUGCAGGCGCAUUAGGGUGUGUCUUGAAUACUAGUACAUAUUACGACAUGAAAUCUUAAUAAUUUGUACAUAAAUUUGUAUUAAUUCAUAAUUAUAAAAUAUAUAUUGUAUAUAAGCAUGUAUUUAAUUAUGAGUUUGGAUCAAACCCGAUUUGAGACUAAAUCUGAAAUCCGAAAGCCCAAAAUUAAAAAAUUCAUGUAAUUUAUGAGCCAAACUCGUGCUCGCUACCCGACUCAAAUCCCGGGGCUGUUCAUGUAAUUGACGCCACCUUAAAACCCGGGGCUGUUCGGACCUUCCAGCUGUAACACUGUGAUGGAACGCCAAAGUGAUGCACCACUUCUUCUUUUUCUUUUUCUUUUUCUUUUUUUUCCGUUACUAGUUAUUGUAACGGCAUCGUUUUCGUCCAACCGCAGAACCCGUAGGCGUGGCCCGCUGCGGUCCCCCCACUCCUUUUUGUUAGAGGACCGCCGACGAACGGUCUUCUUCUUGAAGGCGACAUGAUUGGGGCCCAGAUCCAAUUGGUGUAGCGCUUCCUUCACAAGCUGUGGGAAUGCUUUUGCAACGGAAGUUGCUUGGCAAUUUCCCGUAGACCUUUCUUCGUUGGUGGGAUUCUUCGUCUGCUUUUGAUCUACGAGCUUGGGGCCCUUGAUCGUGGAAAAUUCCACCCAAGAAGGACAAGAAACUGGGACAUAAUAAUUAGUUUUUUUCUUUUUUAAAAAAAAGACGGCAAUGAUCAUUUGGAAUCUCACUCGUUAAUUCUUGCGACAUAAACGUAAAAUUAAUUUCACGAUCCUUGGGGAUCAGAUUUAAAACAUAUAUAAGUACUCCUUAUCUGGUUUGCUUUCUGCAAGGGAUUACGCUAACACAAUAAUAUCGUGGCUUAAAAUCCUUGAAUUUAUUUGCAGUCCAGAGACCUCAAAGUUCCCCAUUUCCACGCCAGCUGGAUGCUUUUAUUUGCUUUUCCACCGCUGUAGAAGACUAGAAGUGCUGCAGCAGUGCAUCUUUGACAAACUUGGAUGCCAUUUUGACUGCCAUAGACAAGUUUGCUUGGCAAUUUCACUCUCUAUGGGUCCGUUUGGAUUCUUGUUUUUGGGCCUGUUUUUGAAAAACUGUUUUUCACAAUCCAAAUGCUACAGUAAAUGUGUAUUUCAAAAACAACUCCAAAAACACCAAUAUCCAAACAAUAUAUCAAAAACAACUCCAAAUACAUAUUUAAUAUGUUUAUUUCAAUUUAUAUAUUUCAAUUAUGUAUAGGAUAUAUAUAUAUUAUAUUAAUUUAAAUAUAUUUAUUUAUACAUAUUAUAAAUAUUUUACUUUAUAUAAAAUAUAUUUUUAUAUAUUUAUAUAAAUAUUAUAUAUUAUAUAAAUUGUAUAUAUUAUAAAUAUGUUAUUAUACAUUUAUAUAAAUGUUAUAUAUUAUAUAUAUUUAAUAUAUACAUAAUAUAUAUUAUAUAUAUUGAACAUUUAUAUAAAUGUACAUUUAAACAUAAUAUAUAUAUUUAUGUAUAUUUAUAAUAUACAUUUAUAUUAUGUAUUAUAUAUAAUAUAUUACAUUUAUACAUUUAUAUUAAUAUACAUAAUAUUAAUUACACAUUUAUACAUAAUAUUAAUAAAUGUAUACAUUUAUAUUUAUUACAUUAAUACAUUUAUACAUAGUAUUAAUAUAUAUUUAUAAUAUAUUAAUUUAUACAUUUAUAUAAUAUUCAUUUAUAAUUUAUACACAUUUAUAAUAAUAUACAUUUAUAUAUUUAUAAAUAUAUUUAUAUUAUGUAUUAUAUAUAAUAUAAUACACUUAUAAUACAUUUAUAUAUUUAUUUAUAAAUAUAAUACACUUAUUUAUUUAUAUAUAAUAUAUAAAUUUAUUUAUAAAUAUAAUAUACUUAUUUAUUUAUACAUAAUAUAUAAAUUUAUUUAUUUAUAAAUAUUUAUAAUUGUAUUAUAAAUGCAUAAAUGUAUAUAAAUAAAAACAUAAAAAUUAUAAAUUAUAAAUUAUAAUAUUCAUUUAUAUAAUAUUCAUUUAUAAUUUAUACACAUUUAUAAUAAUAUACAUUUAUACAUUUACAAAUAUAUUUAUAUUAUGUAUUAUAUAUAAUAUAAUACACUUAUAAUACAUUUAUAUAUUUAUUUAUAAAUAUAAUAUAUAAUAAAUAAAUAAAUAUAAUACACUUAUUUAUUUAUAUAUAAUAUAUAAAUUUAUUUAUAAAUAUAAUACACUUACUUAUUUAGAAUAAUAUAUAAAUAUAUUUAUUCAUAAAUAUAUAAAUAUAUUUAUUUAUAAAUAUUUAUAAUUGUAUUAUAAAUGCAUAAAUGUAUAUAAAUAUAAAAACAUAAAAAUUAUAAAUUAUAAAUUAUAAUAUACAUUUAUAUGAUAUUCAUUUAUAAUUUAUAUAUUUAUAGUAAUAUACAUUUAAACAUUUAUAAAUAUAUUUAUAUUAUGUAUUAUAUAUAAUAUAAUACAUUUAUAUAUAAAUAUAUGAAUAUAUUUAUUUAUAAAAGUACAAAUAUAUUUAUUUAUAAAUAUUUAAAUAUAUUUAUUUAUAAAUAUUUAAAUAUAUUUAUUUAUAAAUAUUAAUAAAUGUAUUAUAAAUGCAUAAAUGUAUAUAAAUAUAAAAAUUAUAAUUUAUAAUUUAUACAUUUAUAUAAUAUUCAUUUAUAAUUUAUGCAUUUAUAAAUAUAUUUAUAUUAUGUAUUAUAUAUAAUAUAAUACAUUUAUAUAUUUUUAUAUAAAUUUAUUUAUUUAUAAAUAUUUAUAAAUGUAUAAUUAUAUAUUGUUAUAAAAAUAUAAAAAUACUCGAAAAUAUGUUUUAAAAAUACAUCUAAAAAUAAUCCAUAAAACAUCUACAGUAAAAGCUUUUUAUAUAAUUUUUGAAAAACAACCCAAAAAACAACUAAUCCAAACGGACUUGUAUUUGAAAAACGAAAUGCUACAGUGUUGUUUUUGAAAAACAACCCAAAAACAGCUAAUCCAAACGGACUAAUGUUUUCAGAACCGGACCGGGUGCCGAUUCGAUCAAGUUCAGGGGUCAGGGGUCAAUAGGUUCAACUGGAUUCGAUCGGCGUUGAACCUGAUGACGUUAUAAAUAAAAAUUAUUUAAAAAUUAAAAUAUUAUUUGUAAAAUAUCUAAUAACAUGUUAAUAUUAAUAAAGGUAUAUUCAUAUAUAUUUGAUGUUUCAAAUAUAUUUAAUAAGAAAAUACAAAGAAAUUAGAACAAUCAAGUAGUAAUUUAUAUUAUUUAAUGAGUAUUAACAAGUUUAGAAUUAAAAUUAUGGACUUAAUUGAAAAUAACACCAAACUUUAAGACAACAUUUAUAAAUUAUGAAAUAUUUGACGUAUAUUAAUAAUUUUUAACAACCCAGGGGUCAAAACAUAAUAUUAAAAAAUUUUGAAAUUUUUUAAAAGUGUUUGAUUGAACCGGAAAAUCGAUUUUUUCAAAUCAAACCCGAUUUUGACCGGAUUUGACUGGAUUUUUACUUACCCGAUUUUUUAGUAUAACUCGGAUCGGACCCUUGGCCGGUUCCGAUUCGACCGGCCGGUCCGAUCCAAGUUUUAAAACACAAAUUUCACUUGGCGUUUGUUGAUCAAUGCUUAGUUGAAGGUUUCAUCUUUUUUUUUUCGAUUGAACACUAGAUGGGGCCUUUGAUUGUGAAAAAUAUCUCUGGGGGUUGUUGGAAUGGUGGUUCAGAACAUCCUUCUUGGAUUGUUAUUUUUUGAAUUUUUUUGUAAAAAAAUUAUUACAGUAAUUUGAUAUAUGUAAGGUAAAAAUAUGAUUGAAAAAUUUGAUCACGAAAAACAUAACAAUUUUUUCGAGAAAAGCUUCAAUCUCAUCAUUGGAAAUUUAAUUCUUCGCUUUUUACAUUUGUCAAAUUGUCAAAAUAGUCACUUGUAUUUUCAAAAGUUUUCACUACAAGAAAUUUGACCUUUUGUGACAAUAGAAAGUCAUCACUAAAAAUUAGAAAGUCGUCAUUAUAUGAGUACAGUGACGACUUUUUCUAUUGUCACCUCGUUGUCACUAAUUCUAUGUCACAAAUGGGUAUGUGUGACAACCUCUACAAAGUCGUCACUAAAUAUUAUUAUUUAAUGACGAAGACUAAGUCGUCACUAAAGAAUAGUAUUCUAUGACGAAGUUUCUUGUCACUGUUUCCAAAAUUUUUUUAUCAUAAAAGAUAGCAGAAGUCGUCACAAAUUUGAACGCGCACAGUGACGACUUGAACUUGUCACUCUCACUUCUAGUAUUCAGUGACAAGAAUAAUCGUCACUUAGUGAACUUACAACUUUGUCUACUAGAGCUGCAAUUCUAUUGCAUUUUCAACAACCAUAGCAGAAAAUUGUGGCUCGACUAAUGCAAAAAACGAUAGUAAUUAAUGUACAAUGAACCCUCAAAUAUAUAUAUAUGGUUAUAAACAUCUCUAAAUUCAUCACAACACACAUUAACCAAAAUGGGUUCCAAAGCCCACGUUAGUUCAAGUACUAACAACCAUUAUCCAUCCAAACAAUAGAGUACUAAAUUCACAUCAAUUCCACUAGUAACAGCCAUUACACAUCCAAAAAAACAAAGUACUCUUUCCAAACAAAAACAUAGACUAAAGCAACAAUUUGUGUCAAACUGAAGUCAUCUUCAUGAGCAUAUCCAAAUGCCAACCUUUUUCAUCUCCUCAAGAGCAUUUAAUAGCAUUGUACUGCAUUGAAAGAAAAGUAUCAUAUGCAUUAGAAUCGAUUUCAGUCAAAAAAUAUGCCAUUACAAGCAUACACUAUUGAAUUUGAAUGAAUAGUCAUAUUGAACAAAAAUCCAAUUAAGUCAAUAUGAUAAGCUCCCACCAACAUCACGUACAAUGUCACACCACAGGACCAUACAUCCGCAAUCUAGAAAUUAAAUAGACAGCAAUUACAAAAUGAAUGAAGAAAAAGCGAGCCUGCGUUUUAACAAUAAGAAAGUCCCAUAAGUAUCUCUCUAUAAAAUCAAUGCCCAAAGAAAAUGAGAUCAAGGCAAACGAAAUAUAUUUUGCAUGUGUUUACACCUCAUCUUCAUUGAAUCCACCAGCACUAUAAAUUUUUGCAAAGAGCUCUCCACCAGCAGCAUAUUCCAUCACAAUAGCUAAAUGUGUCGGAGUUAGCACGACCUGCAGACAAAAGUAUGCUUCAAAACAUGGCUCCAUCAUUUUUAUCACAGACAUCUCCCACUAAGGAAGUUGAAAGUACAAACAAUAGUUUCUCAUCCUGAUUCAUAAUCUAGUUCCAUUUUCUAUCUUGUCAGCUCUCAUCUAUGACCUCGAAGACAGCGCACUUUUCUAUUUAAUUGAAGCCGAAAACAGGGCCCAUUCCAUUCCCUCUAGAAAAAGUGUAAUAUGAGUGCCAAAGUCUUGAACUACCGAUUAGCAACCAACUUCGGCCGAAUAAAAAUGGUACUCUUUUAUGCUACUACUGCCAUUGUCAAACUAAAACAUGUUAGAAAAUAGUAGACAUCAUUGCAAAGUAGAGAGUUUCUGCAGCAAAAUUAAUCAAGUGCAAGAACAUUCAACCAUUGAUUACUUAGACUAUCUGAAAGAAAAAAAGAAAAUACCCUUACAACCUCAAAUGUUUGACAAAUCCAGUUAGUAAAUGUUCACAUCAUUUGCUGCAAUUAAAACUAUGUACAAUUAAAACUAGGCACUGCUUUAAUAAUAUUAUAACUAUUUAGUGCAUCGAGUUAGUCUAAAAAUGUCCAACAUUAUUUGGAAAUGCACUUUGGCGGUAGACAAAAUCUGACUCCUUUAGGCAUUAAAGCAGUAGACAAUAGUUUAGGCACUAAAGAUGUUUACCAGUGCUAUGUAAAGGUAAACAAUAUCAUUUUAGUUGAAUAAAGACUCCAAAACUAAAGAGGCUACAUUUUCAUGCAAUAGUUGAGAUGGAUAACCAGUUUGGAUUGCCAAAAAUGUUAAGAACCAAAUGAUACUUGAGUCUUUAAUCAUCCUCAGAAACAAAUCACCAGGAAGGAGAUGCAAAAUGUGUUACACCAGAAUUUACCUUUUACCAGAUUUGAUAGACCAUUUUCCUUCAAACUUCUUGAAAUCACCAUCAACCAUGGAAAACUGGAGUUCACGGUCAUUUGCCUAAAUAAAUUUCAUUUGCAAAUAGUUAACUGAGAUAAAGUUAUCACAUAAGAAUGCCUAGUUACUGCUACCUACUCUAUCAGAAUGAAAAUGCAGUUUAACAUCUCACAUUAUAUUACUUGCAAUAACUGCUUUGUUGUCUUUGCCUUUUGUAAUCUCACAAAGGUUUAACAAAUCACGUAUCACCAUCACAAGAAAUCUGUUUUCCUGCCACAGUUGAUGCAAAAAAAUAAAAGUAAGAAAAUGGUGAAAAAGAAAAAGAACCACAAAACUGAAAGUUAUCCAAACACAAGGUCUCAUUUUGAGUAGAAAGAAGCCAGAAAAUAGUCACUCAGCGAAGAAAGACUAAAAAAUAGGAAAAAUAUACAGCAUAAAGCAAUACACUUGUUCCUCCAUCAUUGAUCCUAAUAUAGAUCCUAUUGCCCAGCACAAGGUAUUUAGGUUGUUCCACAUCCAAUCCUCACCAUUCAGCUGUUUACUUAACUUCCUCAGCAUCUGUUAACAAGAUUCAUCAUACACGUCAACACCUUUUUUAAAAAAAUUUUACAUGUCAACUCCUUGAACAAAUAUAGAAGAAAAUCAUAAUAACUAUAGCAGUUUCGACAAGGAAAGAUUUGAGCCCCAUCAUUCAUUUAUAACCAAGGUUGCCAUAGACUUCUAGUUCAGCUUGUCUCAACUAUGGAUAUUGGGUGGUUCUUUUAGUGAAGAUCUUAACAGCAUUGAAGUGACGAUCUUAAUACAUUCAAGUAAGUAAACCAAAGAAAGCAGAACAUUCAUUAGUCCAUGCCAAAAAUACCAUUCCUAUAAUUGCAUUAACAUGACUACAAGCAACUCGAUCACCAGGGCAAAUUAUAAUCUAAGUACACAAGAGAAAGCAUAUUAGUAGAAAACUUAUCUGAUUAUUCUCAUAAUCAGAUUGAAGAAUUCAAAAAAUCACAUCUGAUAUCUAGAAAUCAACCACUCAAUAUUUAUAGAUUAGCGCUUCAAUAUACAAAUGCAAGGAAUUCAUAGAGAAUCUAGGAUGCCAAGAACGAGCAAAUUAUCUCUGCCUUAUGACAAGAAUAAAAAAUUCUUACUUUGCAAUCUCCUGCUUAUCCUUUUUUUUUUUUAUCAGUAACAAGAAGCACCAGCAUAUAAUCCAUUAAACCCAGAAAAAAGGUGCUACCACAUGUUUUUAAGAAAUUCCUUAGAUUGAUUUGAAGACCUAGAGCAACCAAAACUAUAGAUAAGUCUCAAUCAACUACGUAUCUCAACAUGCAUAACUUUCAACUGCAACAUCUGAGAGCCUAAAUUGCAAAUAACAUAAUUCAGCUCUCAAGAAGGGUCUUAUCACUCACUCAAGUUCUGAGCUUUAUGCCAAUUCGCACCACCAAUUGCUAAUAAAAACCUAAAAUGGAUUUUGUCAAACAGUCCUUGAGUUCUCAGCUUUCUGGCAACCCAAAUCAUCAAUUCGUGGGUGGGAUGGGGGAAACAAGAGGGAUUAGCUACAACUUCGAGAAGACAAAAAGUUUUCGUCCAAAAUAGCCAAAUUUGAAGGAUUUCGAAUAGCAAUAAACGGGUUAAAGAGAUCCAAAAAUAAAUAAAUAAGAGAUAAGUAAUCCAACUUCAAGUGCUGAUAUACGUGUAACAGAUGUAAAUGAAACUGAGGAUAGCAAAUUCUUGCAGAAUUACAAAGAAAGAAGGAUACAAACCAAGUAGACGUCUAGCCAAAAUAUUCGCGCAGGGGAAAAAAAAAUCCCGGGCCCAGGCAAAAAGUGGGUGAGAAUUAGAUCUCUGCAGUGAAACUUAACAGGGGCGGCCUUCCCUUGUAGAAGGAACGUACACCAGCUGCAAAGAAAGAUCCAACAGGAUGAAACAAAAAAAUUGUUCCCAAAAAAAGAAAAAGAAAAGCUUAAAAUGGUACAAGUAAACGGCUGUGCUCAAACGGCCAGGUUAAGGGAGAUGAAAAAGGAAAAGCAAAAAAAAAAAAAUUGAUUGAAUGAGAAGGAUUCUAUCUCAGAUAGGAUUUGCGGUUUGCUGUGCGUUCUCUUCAUCUUCUUUCUCUUUUAUGUUUGUUUUUUUUCAAUUUUUUUUUUUUUGCAGUCAACGGGAAAUAUUACUACUAAUAUAACAUGGGAGCAAUAUAAAUAAUAUAAUACUGGUUUACUACUUCCCAUUUUUUCAAUCUGGCUCUCACCACCAAACUCAUCAGAAGGUCCACGGGACCAGCACGAUACCCCUCCCUGUCACCAAAUCUGGGCCUAUCCCCAUCAAACCUUGGUGGUCCGCGAGGGCGGUCACCAGGAGGUCCACCCAUAGGACGACCGAGGGGCUUGACGGACUUCUUAAGAGUAGCAGGAACAAUUUCAGAGGGAAGAUUGAGGUAAGUCCUCAGGAACUCGAUGCCGUCGUUCGUAAGAUACCAGUAGUAACACUAGGCGGCCUCCGGUGACCCGAUUGUGCAGCAGCUCCUCCUCCUGAUUAGGGAUUUUUGCUGCACCGAUCUAGGGAUUUUUGCUAUCUGCAACUCCACAAAAUCUACACAAAUCUUUUGGGUAGCUCAAAUUAGGGAUGAAAAUGGUGGCUCAAAGUGAUUUUUUGGAUAAUUUCAGUGUUAUGGUAUUGAACCAAUUAGCAGCAAUGGUGACAGAUUAGUUGCAGCAGAAGUGAAUUAACUCCUGACGAAUUUGAAUGGAACAGGGAAUGGAGAUGAUUAUUGGAGCUUCAACUUCUCAUUAACAAUAGGUAUGUCAAAUACAGGAACAGAAUCAACGGAUUUAGGAUUGAAAGGGAAAGAUUGAAGGAAUUAAGAGAGAAGAGAGGAGGAAGUUGGCAGGGCCAAUUCCACUUUACAAACAAUGGAAAUAAUAUGACAAAAAUCUAUGCUAACUCUCGGAUUCUUCAGCCUUUUAUGGCAUUUCCAGACUAACUAACUUGUAAACUAGCUAAUCAGGUGAGGCCACGUGGAAGUUCUGGAAUCAUCAGCUCCACUUGCGCCAAACAGAAGUAUAAUUCUGUUAUAUCAGGUAGAAGGCGUGAUUUGUAAGUCACGCCUUUCUUCAUCAAGUUGAGCAGCUGCGCCUUCAAUGCAAUCUAGAACACGCCUCCUGUUUAUUCUUCAUACUCCAUGACAGAGCCUCCCCCUUAAACAAUCCUUGUCCUCAAGGAUGUCGAACAAAGUUCCAAGCUUCCAAACAAAGUCUUCGGAUUGAUAUUUGGCAAUUCGCAGCAAGCAAGUAGUAUAAGAAAAUGGCAAAGCUUGCUGAUUCUUCUGUUUUAGCUGAGCAACAAGAGCUGAAAUUCUAGAAGUAGCACCACCAACCAUAUAUAAUCUUUUAAGAGCAACUUGAUCCGGAUAAUGCAAACCAAGGAAUUUCUCUACUGCCUUUAAAAGGUCUUGCAUGUUAGCAUCAACACACCCAAGCAAGGUUUGAAGUCCUGCUGUUACUCCUGGAUUUGAAACAGAUAGGAGAAUUCCUAUGUAGCCAUUACAGGCCAAGCCAGCCAGAAAUUGCAGACCAAAGUACCUAUUUGCAGAAAUUGCAGAAAUUGGUACCACUGUUCUAGUACCAAGUAAAGAGUUCAUGUCAAAUGAUGACUCAACUUCCAUCUCUUCCAUGUCAAUAGUGUCAUAUGUCAUCCGCUCCUCAAAUUUCUCAUCAGAACAAUUAAGGAACCAAGCAAGAGAACAUUUCAAACCCUUCUUUCCAAUCAUUGCAUGUCUUGGUUUAAUAGUUGACUCAAGACCAUAAGUGAAAAAGGCUGGGAAAGAAACCAAGUCAUCCAACGGUCUUGCCAUUUUUCCCUGGAAGUAAUCAAAGCUUACUUUCAUGACAUCAAGAUUUAGAGCAAGCAGUUGGGGACAGGCCAUCACCAUCUUUCUCACUUGUUCCAAGGAAAAUCCGCAUUCCUUGAGGAAAUCCAAAUGCUUCAAUAUGGCAGUAUUAUUGAGGCUGACAAUCUGUGGCAUCUUCUCUACAACUCUCCCAAAACCAACAGGAUCCAAUUGGAUGAUUGAAUUAAGAAAGUCCCUUCGAGUGCAAAGUCUUGUUUGAACAUCUACUCCUAUAAUUUCAGGAUACUGUGCAAUGACAGAUGCAAGCAACGAUUUCCUAACAUUGAACUCUAAAAGGGACUCAACAUUUGGCUUGAUCCUGUCUUCAAGUCCAAAUCCAAGAAUAAAAGGUCUUUUCUCUAUUAGUCUAGCUAUGGCUAAUUGUGGUAUUCCCAAGCUUUCUAGAUAAUCCACAAAUGGUUUGACUGUACGGCCAACUCUCACUCCUAAUAUUUGGGGGUAUCUAGUUAGUAGCCCACCAAUUUCUCUCCUUGCGACCCCUAUUCCAACCAAGUAAGCCACUAAAGUACUCAUGGUGCCUUCCAGCUUAAACCCCAAUACUUCAGGAUACUUCUCCAGAACCCGAGGAAUAUCAUUUGGCUUGAUAUCCAUUCCUUGAAGAUACUUAACUACCGGUGCAAGAUCGACAACAACACUAGAAUGGAGGACUUGUGGGUAUCUACGCAAGAAUUCUGUAAACGUAGAUUUUUUAACACCCAACUUGCCGAGGUAAUCAAGGACGGGAACCAUGUUUUUCUUGACACUGUAGCCAAGAACCAGUGGGUAAUUGUUUAUAUCCUCAACAGUGAGGCCUAAUCUGUGAAGAAAGUCCACACGUUCGCACAUUACAUCUACAGUGACAGGGAGCUCCAAUCCAUCAAGCUCAUCAGGGAAAACACCAAUUCCCCUCAAGAAAUCAUAAACAGGGGCUCGAUUGGCUGCCUUCUCACUCCUAAUCUGUGACAAACUAGGAUGAGCAUACAAAGAGGAAGAAGCCUUUUGCCUUUGAAGCCCUUCAUUACCAGAAUUGUCCUUGGACAAAGAUAAGUCUAGAGAAGUAGAUGAAACGGUUCUACCAGAAACUGAACAACUAAACCGCAUGAAUCUACAUCCAUUCAUGGAAGAAGAAUACAGUUGAGGCUUACAGAAGGAAAUGGCAGGCACGUCACAAAUGACAAGGGAGAAAGUAGGCCGGGCAAUGGCCCUGUAGCCUAUGAUCAUCAUGAUUGGUCUUUUAAAUAAAAUCUCAAUGAACUUUUGCUUUACCUCACGGCUGACCGAAGACCAAUUUCUGGGACAGUGGAGCGGUGAAGCAGAGUUAAAUAUUUCCUUGUCUAUAGAGCCUUGUUGCCAACCUAGCUCCCCUGUAAGCAAUUCAUAGCUAAGCCCUUGAGAGAUAACACAAUCGUUGUGAGCCAAUCUAUCACACACUUGGUUUUUAGCUUUUUCUUCUUGAUAUUCCCUUGCUGAUGUUUUAUGUUGGUUCUCCUCUAAAAAAUCCAUUGGAGUCCUUUGGCACAACCCAUCAAACAUGUGGCUGACUACACUUUCAUCCUUCAAGUUAGUGAUUAUAUCAUUGUGUUCAGCCUCUACACCCUCAUUUUCUUUCAUAAGCUGCUCUCCUUUUGGUGAAUCAAGAGCAGAAUCAUGCUUCUCCAUCACGGCUUCCUCGAUUUUUGCUCGGAGAUAUGCUUCAUACAAGAUCUUGGGUGGACUCCUAAAUCUCUUUAGCUUCAUCUGGAUAUUCCAAUCAAGCCCAAAGUUAAAACCAUCAAUAAAGUAUUCCUCACUGAGUUCUGGUUUCAAAGCCAACAUCUCGUUUCUCCACUCUUCAAAUUCCUCAUAGUACUCUACUACGUUAGUUGCUUGUUUAGGCUUAUUAUGCUCUACCAGGAAGUAAUUCAGCAUUUUAGAGAUUUCUUCAAGGGUCUUCAUAUAUAUAUAUAUAUAUUGAUUGGUCAGAAAAGAGAUGAAGAUGGAUAGGGAUGAAGGUGAAUCAGAAGUGAAGGAAAAAUUAGGAGGAAAGAUUUCUAAUCAAGCAGCCAAACCCAGACGGACCGUAGCUGCUCUGAUACCACUGUUAUGGUAUUGAACCAAUUAGCAGCAAUGGUGACAGAUUAGUUGCAGCAGAAGUGAAUUAACUCCUGACGAAUUUGAAUGGAACAGGGAAUGGAGAUGAUUAUUGGAGCUUCAACUUCUCAUUAACAAUAGGUAUGUCAAAUACAGGAACAGAAUCAACGGAUUUAGGAUUGAAAGGGAAAGAUUGAAGGAAUUAAGAGAGAAGAGAGGAGGAAGUUGGCAGGGCCAAUUCCACUUUACAAACAAUGGAAAUAAUAUGACAAAAAUCUAUGCUAACUCUCGGAUUCUUCAGCCUUUUAUGGCAUUUCCAGACUAACUAACUUGUAAACUAGCUAAUCAGGUGAGGCCACG
RNAcentral lists this long non-coding RNA (60699 nucleotides) under Coffea arabica (coffee). RNAcentral describes it as "long non-coding RNA (CARA_LNC000483)". The stretch from base 10794 to 10900 matches the Rfam family "Plant small nucleolar RNA R71". The record is from RNAcentral. Lineage: Eukaryota; Viridiplantae; Streptophyta; Magnoliopsida; Gentianales; Rubiaceae.